UUACUAUCGGAGCGCCAUUCACCAUGACCAUAACCAUAGCAAACGCUUUCUGUCAGUGUUCUUAAGUCUCCUGCUGUGAAAAUCUUCAUCUUGGGACAGCCAAUCACACAUAGAUAUUCCAAAGAUGGGAAUCUGAAGGUGUAAUUGCCAGAGCUGAAGCUUGUGAGACUAUCUAAAUGAUGCAGAUCCAGAGACUUCAAUUUGAUGAAAACUAUCUCUUCCUUUGCUGCUGCUGCAUCUCCCUCACUUAUUACCACUUGUGUCAUUGCACUGCAUCCAUAUAUCGUCAAACUUUCAAGUCGCACUAGACUUUUUGCUCCGGAGGGUGUUACUAAGUUCAUCAACUUCUGGCAACUGUCUACCUGCAGUUGCAGCAGUUCGGUGAGAUUAGACUAAUCAGAUUUUGAGAAUGGAAAAAUGUCAAUUAGACUAAUAAGGUUUUGACAAAGUUGUACUUUUAGAAUUUCAAGAUUUUGAAGAAUGGAGUCCCCCAUCUUGGAGUUUGGUAUCCACAAGUACUCAAGAUCAUUAAGACAGAUCAGCUCCAACUUCUUUAUCAAGUGUACUUGUCCUCCAUUUGAGAAUAGCUCUUUGUAUGAACAAAAGGACAGGUUGAGAUUUUCCAGCCUGUGAAAUUUCUCAAGCAAACCAAUUGGGACACUAGCUGAGUCAUCAUCCCUGACCUCCAGAUCUUUAAGACUGCCAAAGAGGUGAUCUUGUGGGAAAUCACCCUGCAAAAGCAUCAUGAUGUCCUUUAUGCUUAACCCCAGUUCCUCCAAAUUGGGGAAGAUCUGAUCAACAUCAACAAAAUAAAAGCUUGAGUUAAAUUGAUCAAUUAUCUCAAACAAUUUUGAGUUAGCCAAUCAUAUAAAUUGAUUUCAUAAUAUAUUAUGAGCGGAUAUAUUGAGUCUGACCAUUCAUAAAAAGAGAGUCUAUUCGGAAAAAAGAUUCAGAUUUUAAAAAGAAACAAUAAGAAUAAAUGAAAAACAAGUAAAGAAUACAUUACUAAAGUUGAACAUUGUAAUAUUUCAAAGUCAUUUGUAGAUUCUAAAUAAAAGUAUUGAAUUCAUCCAUUAUUGAUUUUUAUAAUAAUUGAAAGCAAACGUAGAUGCAAAAUAUGCUAUACAUAUGUGUGACGGAGUGAUGUCCAUGAUAAAUAAGAAUAAAAAUAUAAAUGUAAAGAGGGAAAGAUGUGAAUGAAGGGAUUACUGGGUGAUGAUACAAGAGCACAACAAAGACACUUGGGGACAAGAAUGUUAAUUCCAGGUAUCUAUUAACAAAUAAAAAAUGGUCAAGGAUCUAAGUACAAAACUUGUUUGCAGGGAGUACAUGAGUGAGUCAUUUCUAAAAUUUUGGUUUGCGAAUUUCUUUUAAAGCACAAGGACUCAACUGAUCAUAAAAGUCUAAAACAUUGUAUCAUACCUUUUCGAAGGAGAAGAAUGGUUGCUUUGGGACAUGAAGUUGUUUUUUCUCAUUACUAUGGAAACUAAAUGAUUCUGAAGCGAAAGUGUUUAAUUUGUCACAAGAAAACACCUCCAACUUUUUUAGCUCUGGCCAUUCCGAAGUAUGCAAUCCCGGGUAUAAACAUGUAAGUUCUGGUAGAUGGCAGAGACUAAUAUUUGUCACCCGCCGAAAUGCAAAACAAGGGGGCUCUUGACCUGGCCCUCCCUCAGAAAUAAUCACCUGCAAACCUGUACAGUUGCGUAUCUCCAGGUGCUGGAGUUGCUCCAAGCUUUUGAUCAUAGAAGCAUAAAACAUGAAUUUUAAUUUCUGACAGCCCCACACUAUCAAUCGUGUUAGACGUUGAAAGCAACAAGGAGUUUGAUUGUGCCAAAUACUUUUGACAUUAAUUUCACAUAGCUCCAAAGCCUCUAAGUUGGGCAAAACAACCUUCAGAUAAAGUUCUUGUCAGAUAUUCCAAUAUCAAAUGAGAAGCAGCAUCUCAAGAAUUUUGUUCAUCAAUUGCAAAUGCAGGUCAAAAUCAACUUCCACUUGAGUACAUAAUCUAAUUCAUACUAUGUUGAGAUCUUAGUGAGUUUGUUUUAUUCCUUUUUCGUUUUUCUAUUUUUUUAUGAAGGAUUUAUUUUCUACUUAUAUGCCAACAAAAUGAGAAUGCAUGAUAGAAUAAAAUGGUAGAGAAACAGAAAUUACUAUAGCUUACCUUCCCAUUAAAAAGUGAUGGUGGCAUAGAAGGUCCCUUCACUUCACAGCAAAAGCUUUUAAGUUCUGGAAGAUUUCCCAGACUCAAAUACCUUAUUUGAGCAAACUCUAUAUUCUCAAUUGCAUUAUUGUUGUCGACUACAUCAGGUUCUUCUCCACCAAUCGCAAAAAUCUCUUUCAUCUUGUUGCAUUUAAUAACUGCAAUCCUCUGAAGACUUGGAAGGCACUUAGUAGUAGAGAGCACAAAGAUAUUACUCAACUCAUCACAAUUUUCCACUUUCAUAGUUCUAAGUUCAGAGAAAGACUCUGUGCUAAGUCGAUCAACACAUAUCCUCUUCAAGUUAAUCAAAUUCUGAAGAGAAAGCAACUCCAAAAGAGGAAAGGCAUCACAAUCCACUAUCUCCCUUGAGUCAACAAUAAACAAGAGAUCAGGAUUAUUUUGUACAAGAAGAUGCUUGAGCUGUGAAAAUCCCUGUGUGUCCAAUUCAAAAAGAAUAUUCUUGACACCUUGGAACUUGUCCAAACACAAGUAUUCAACUUUUCUGAUGCCCUGCAAUUUCCUCAAGCAAAUAGUCUUCCAAUUAAGCUUCAAUUUCAACAUUCUUAAAGACUGAUGAUCAAGGAUCAAAAAGUGUGACCGACUAAUUCUAAACCAAUCUUUACUGAGAAUCACAGGAGGCUCGAACGAUCUAUCUCCUAUUAAUAUUUUGAACCUUUCCAGCUCUCUGACGAAAAACCCUUCGGGUAAAGCAUUAUCGUUUUCAACAGCUAUUUCCAAAGUGGUCAGCCUAGGCAAAGGCAUCAACUCAUCAAGGCUAGCUUUACUUUUUUUACUACUGGAUCCUUCAUCCUCAACCUUCCAUUCAACAAAGCAAUUAGACAUAUACAGCUCUUCCAAUCGAGUAAAGCUUGCUAUGACAUUGGGUGCAAUAACUUUUAGGUGGAAACAAUUUGUCAAAUCUAACAACCUUAGCUUAGUCAAUUUACCUAGUUCUUCAGGGAAUUCCACAAUAUCAGACUCGAUUAAGCUAAGGAUUUCCAGAUUUUUCAACUUACCGAUAAUAGUUAUGUCUCCCAACGUGCUAUAAUCCAGACAUAGUGUUUGAAGGUUUACUAAGAGAUCAAUUGAAGAUGGCAAUGAAAACAACUGCAUGUUCGUCAAAUCUACAACCUUGAGCUCUCUCAUCCCUGUGAAAAACCUCUGAGGAAUAUUGACGUCAACAGAAGAAUGCUCGGAAGACAAAAGUAAAAGUUCAAGUUGCGGACAUUCUAAACCUUCAGGAAGUUCACCACCACUACUAUCUAUCCAAGAGAUUGCAUAGCAUUUUUUCAGUGCAUCCUUAUCCGGCCAUUCCCACACAUCACCAUUUCUAACCAAAAACUCUUUCUGUUCACCACAUGCAAUUAAAAUGGCAACAUCGUGGACAACAUCAUGCAUAGAAAACUCUCUACAGCUAUAGCCCUCAAGCAACAAACAAGAGUCUUUAAGUUCAUGCACCAGUGUAUAUAAUUUGUUUCGUGCAUCUUCCAUGUCGAUUCCUCGAAAAAUGCCCAACCCUAUGCAGUAUUUGAACAAGUCUGAAGCAAAAAAUGACUUUGGCAUUAGACUACAGAGCUGAAAAAUUUUCUUAAGUUGCUCACCUUUUAAGGCAUCAUAACUCAGCUUGAUAGCUGUGUAUGCCUUCCCUAGCUCUCUAUGAAAGUUAUUCUCCGUAGGCAUUCGGAGCUCGUGCAGGGCAUUCUUCCAACAUUCAGACUGAGUCUUAUUUCUCAAAGCCUUUGCUAUGGGUUCUAUGGCAAUCGGCAAACCUCCACAUUCCUUGACUAUAUGUGUUGCUGUAGAUUUCAUCCUAGGAAUCAGAUCAUCAUUGCCUAGCUUCACCUCAAACAAUCUCCAAGCUUCUUCUUCAUUUAAAAUUUCAAUCGAGAAGUUAGCUUCAGAGCCCAUCCUUGAAAGUAAAUCACGACCUCGUGUUGUCAGCAAUACUUUGCAUCCUUUGUGUUCAUCUCCAAAAGGAAUUCCAACAUCCUUCAGAUGAAGCUCUGUCCACACAUUAUCUAAAAUUACGAGUAUCUUCCUAUUCUUCUUCAAUUGUGCAUACAGCAUACUUGCUCUAGCAUAUUCAGUUUCCUUGUCCAGUGUCAGCCCUAUUUGCUCUGCAAUUUCCCUUUGAAUCUUUUUCACAUCUGGAGUUCGGGAAACCUCUGAAAAGACCAUCUGAUCAAAGCGCUUGUCCUCUUCAGCUUCCUCCGCUAGCCGUGCCACCUCCUCCACUAGUGUGGUCUUCCCAACGCCAGGCAUCCCAUACACCCCAAUGAUGCUGAUUUUAUCAUCAUAUAAUGCAUUUUGUAUGUCCUUCAAAGCAGGAAUUCUUGAUUCAAAGGACACAUAAUCUUUGUCACGCUUAAUCUUAAGCCAGAGGUAACGGUAAUUAGGCCGGUAGGAAACUUCAUGAAAUCUCGUAGCCGCUUCCAAAAGUUUACCAAUGGCCUUCUCCUCUCUGGCUGCUUUCUUGCUAAGCUUAUAACGGGUAAACAAACGCUUGAGACAUGGCAGGUUAUCUGCUGUCGCUUCAUUUUCAAGGAUGUUGGUUGCACUUUCCAGCAAGUUGGCAACCUUCUCCUGCCACUUCUGAACUUUCUCUUCAAUCUUUUUUCCUUUGCUUUUGUCGUCAUUAACUCUGUUUUCAAUGCUACUACUUUCAUUCUUCAGGUCUACCAUCGAUUCCUUGAGUUUCUUAAUGUUGUCAUUGUAGUUAGGCAAGUAACCAAGCUGUUUUGUUAAUGGAGUCAAGCAUUUUACAACCUCUGGAACCAAAGGAAUGAUGAUUUCCGCCAUAGAUUUUGAAGUUAACUAAACAGAACAGAGACAACAACAAACAAACAAACAGAUGCCCCAAGUGUGUUGUUAAGAUCAGAAAAGUUGAAACAUGAAAAAGGGUUUCUUGAUGUAAUGAAAAUGCAAAGAAAAACAGCAGUAGCAACCACAAAAAACAUAAUCAAAUCGUGUUUGAGAUCAAAACUCAAAAGGAUGAAAAUAAGGAAAAGGGUUUCUUCAAUGCAAAGAGUUGACAGAAUCAGAUGACAAAAUUAAGAGACUUCAAAGUAGUAGUAGCAGGGUCUCUGAUGUAGCUCAGAAAACAAAAUAUUUUCAAGCAAGUCAUCUAAGUGAACAGCAAAGACCAAAUUAAUAAGUAAUAAUAUUAACCCAAGAAAAUAAUUGUAAAAUUUAGGGGUGGGCAUUAUGGUUUUUGGUUGGGUUUCUACUGUUUUUGGUUGGGGUUGCAAUUCAUUCGGGUUCAAGAUUUCAACCCAAACGGUUUGAAAAUUUAUUUUGGUUGGGUUCGAUUUUGGUUCAAAUUUGGUUCAGGUUCAUAGCUCGGUUCGAUUGCGGUUGUUAAUUUGAGUUUAAAUACAGUUUGUCAUAUUCCAAGGGAACUAUGAAAAAUGCUUAGAGUUGAAGUCUAAAUAUAAAAUCACAGAUAAAUGUAAAUUAUUACUACUGAGGAUGGCAAUGGGGAGGGGAGGGGAGGGGAUCAAUCUCCCUGUAUUUAUCCCCGAUAUUUUGCGUAUGUCCCCGUCUCCUCUCAGUCUCCGUCAAAAUUAUUUAAGAGAAUCUUCAUCCCCUUCCCGAAUAAUAACAGGGGAUCUCCGAGGGUACCCGGUCCCCGAAUAACUAAUAUUUUUUUUUAUUUUUGAUUUUGAGUUAAUCAUAUUAAAAUAAAAAAUUCAAAUAAAAGUAAAGUUCGAAAUAUAUCUUACAUUAAUAUCCAUUACAAAAGUCACAUACAUUAAAUUAGUAAAUAACGCAGCAUGCAAGGGAUACAAGCUAUCAUGAAUAAAUUAAUAGCCUAAUACAAAAUUGUUACAAAUAAAAUCAAAUUUAGAUUCAAAAUUAACUUUUCAAUGGUGGUGUGGACACUUUAUAAAUGUGGAAUAUUCACUUUACAGUGCAAUAGUUAAGUCUUAGUAAAUCAAGAGCAAAUAUUAGAUUAGAUUAGAUAUUAAAAUUGUGAUUUGCUGUGGGUAAUUAUAACAUCUAAAAAUAAAUAAAAAAUAGAUUUAAGAUAAAUAAAAAAUAGAUUUAAGUUUAAAAUAUUUAAUGAAUAUUAAAAUUAAAACAAAAGUUUUAGGCUAAUAGAAUAUGUCCGGUCUUUUUAAUGUGCUCAAUAAAAAUUUAGGACUUUAAUUAGUUAAUUAGGUCUAAAAGUUUAAUAAUAUAAAUAUUUUGAUAUUUUUUAUUUUUACCAAUACUUAUAAUUUUAUAAUUCAAAUUUUAUUAUUUAUUUACUAGUAAUUUUAAAAAAUAAAAAUUAAAUUAAAAAUUAAAAUGAGGAAAUGGGUAGGGGAUGAGGAUUCCACCUCAUCCCCGUCCCCUCCCCGAAUAAAAAAUUAGGUAAAAAAAAUUUCUCCAUCCCUUCUUCGAAUAAGAAAUUGGGUAUAAAAUUAUCCUCAUACUCUCUCCGAAUAGAGAAAAUCUCCGAGAAUACCUGUUCCUGUGAGAAUUUUUGCCAUUCCCUAAUUACUACCCAGCAAAGGCUUAGAUCAAGAAAAUAGUCCCCCAGAUAGUGCUAGUGACACAUAAUCCACAGAACUCCCUGAGUAACAAGAUCCAUUAGUAAAGGGCAUAUUACUAUCAACAAGCAUAACUAAACUUUAUUAGAUUCACACAUCAGAGGCAUAUAUCAAUACGAGCAUCUUUUACAUUUGAUAAAAGUCAAUAACAAGAAGCAGAAAGGACAUAGUUCGUCAUUUUCUGAGAAAACCCAUAAGACAUUUCCUUCUUACAGAACCUUACAAGAAUAAUUAGCUACUAGAUGCAGUUUAGUUUCAUCAUGCUAAAUCGAAUUCUCAUCAAGUGAACCCAGUAGCUCAUAAUCCAGCUCUCACCUGCAUGCCUCUUCACUCAAGUUAGAAAAAAGCCAGCAAAAAUUAAACAAAGAAAUAUUGAAUUACCAAUUUGAAAUCUAAAAACAUUUUUUUAUGAAAUAAAAAUGAAAGAAAAUGGACAAAUCCAUUAAUAAUAUGAUAUUAGAUGAGGGACAUUGCGAAUUGAAAAAGUAAUAUGGGAUUGAUUUGGAGGAAAUGGAAGUGUAACCCUCGCCACCAUUAACUCACCGCUUCACAGCUAAUCCCUCUGUGUCAUGUUAAAUCUCACCACGAAUGGAGUCUCCAGCCAUCGGCAGGCAAAUCCCGUCUGUUUUCACACUUGCAUUAUCGAAACGCACCAUUCCAUUCCUUUUUCUUAUGAAAUAAUUUUCCAAUCGUUCACUAACAUAAAACGUUUUGAAUUUUUAAUAAAAACAAUAAUUUAAAACUACCACAACUUCAUGAUACACAAUAAUUCUAACACAAGUCCGUUAUUUAUUUAUUUACUUAUAUGCCGCAAUUUUACUCGGAAUCGGUCGCAAGUUAGAAAACGACCACAUACCAUACCCGCACUGAUAUGCUCACACCAAUUAGGACCACAGUUAGCACAAAACGGUCCGUUUUGUGCUAACUUUAAAAGAAUUUACUGUAGCUUUAAAACACACACACGUCUUGCUCAAACACAAGCGCAGACCACAUGCACACUCGUCUCACUAAAACGCAAACGCAGACCACCCUCAUCUCAUUGGACCACAACACUCUUUCACACCCUCAAAUCCAUAGCAGUUGUGGGUUACUCUCUCUCAUAUCCCCUCUCUAAUUCUGCAAUUUUUUUUGUUCCAUAUACAUAUUCAAUUUGGUUGGCUUGAAUUUUUUACUCGUUAUGAAGCAAAUUGUUGGGCAAAUUUGGUUGGCUUGAUUUUUUAAUUCUCAACUGGGCAAAUUUUGUUGGCAUGAUUUCUUGAUUCUUGAUUAUUGUUUUAACUAGGGGAAUUUGGUUUGUUUUAACUAGGGAAAUUUGGUUGGCGAUUUGUUGCAAAUUUAGUUGGCUUGAAUUUUUCACUGGUGAUGAAGCAAAUUAUUGGGCAAAUUUGGUUGGCUUGAUUUUGUCAUUCUCAACUGGGCAAAUUUUGUUGGCAUGAUUUCUUGAUUGCUGAUUAUUUUUUUAUCUAGGCAGAUUUGGUUUGUUUUAUCUGGGCAAAUUUGGUUGGCGAUUUGUUGAGUUUUGAUUAUUGUCAUAAAUUCAUAAUCAGAACAAAGUUUCUACGGCUGCUGUGGAUUUGAGGGGUGAAAGAGCAACCGACGGCCGCUGGAUUUGGAGGGGAGAUUGAGAGAAAAUAACCCACGGCUGCUCGAUCUGGAGGGGAGAGGAAAUGGAUUCGAUGGGGAGAUUUUAUGUCGUUGAGGGAGAGAACGAGAGAGCGCGUGUGUAUUGCAGGUGUCAAAAUUAUCAAUUCACAGUGACUAUUUAUAUUUAUUUCAAAAUGCAUCCUUCGGUGCUAUGUGUGGUGCAUAGCGUGGUGUGAAUCUCAUUUUCCCAUUACCAUAACGUGCAAAACAUACAAAAACAACAGAUAAGGCCAUACAUACACUGUAUCAAAGUAUGAGCGUAAAACAUAAACACCUGAUCAAGAUCUGAGUACACAAAGAAAACUGUACAGUUUUCUAUACAGUUUUCAAUAAACAUUGAUCAUUUUUGGCUUUUCCUUUGCUGCGGUUUCCUGUCUUCAUACUUUCCCACAACAUAUGCGGCGGCCGCCACAUAGUCGACAGCGGCGCCAAAAUGGCGGAGUAGGUACCGGUGGGCGAACAGGAGAAGGACGAGUAUAAGCAGCGGUUGAAGCAGCACAAAUUGGAGGUGAAAACUUCAGCUUCUUAUUCUUGGCCAAGCCAAAUGUGUGCUUUUCAUUGGUUUUUACCUUCAAAACAAGCUUUGAAGACUCUAAGCCACCGUAAGCUGGACAUGGAGUGCCUGAUGCACUAUGAAGUUGUGCAUAACAGUCUUCCUUGAGCUCUCCAUCUUCAACAAUUUCCUCCGGAAGUGAUACCUUGAACUCACCUUUGACAUCGAGCUCGCCCGUCCCUCUUGUUUUGAACCCUCCGUUUCCAUUUUCCUGCUUACAAUCUAUAGUUACUCGAAGUCCUGUAAAAAGUAAAAUGAGUAAAUGAUUAUGAUCAAUUACCAUUCAGACGCAAACAGAGAUGCAUGAUGCAUCCAUUUAAGGGGAAAAAAAAAAUAAUAAUACCUGAAAAAGCCUCGCUAGGCUUAAUGUUAGAGAGUGCACAAUCUGCACAUUCUGCACUUCCAACUACUUCAACUGUCUUACUAUCACUGCCAUGGCAAAAGUUCACAGCAAACAGCAGGGCCACCAAGAGGCACACAAGUGCUUCUCCGGAGAUGGGGAGGAUCCGCAUUUGGAACCCGAAACUAGCAAAGAUUAGUAGAAAAAGGAAAUCAAGAAAAACACAAAAACAACCUAAAUUCAAAUGCUGAUAAGCUAGCUCGCAGAAUGAGUGAGACUGCCCUCACACAGAGGCUCGUUUAUAUAGAGAACUGAAUGGCGGCGAUUUUUUCCUCUGCGAGUGGAUACUGUCGGCGCCGGCUCAUUUUACGUGAGAUUGCCAAGUUCUACACGUUUUAUAUCGUAUUGUAUUAUUUUAUUACAGGCGAGCUGCUAUUUUACAUUUAAUGAUGAUUGCGAGUUGUCAAUUGAUUAAUUAUUGUUGAAUUGGUGAUAUGAAUUAAGGGUUAUAUAUAUAUCACUCACUCACUCACUCUUCUUUUUUUUUAAAAAAAUAAAAAAAGAAAAAAGGCUGUGGUAGUUGAUAAUUAAGCUAGGGAGAUUGUUUCACACAAGGAAAAUGAGAUUCUUACUUGCUAAACGGUGCAUUUUGUAGCUUCAAAAUAAAUAAUUAAUCAAAUAAUUUCUAAAUAAUAUUAUAACGUAAUAAUAUUUUAUAUUUUAUAUUUUUAUUUUUAUUGAUAUUAGUUUUAAAUUAAUAUUAUUUAAAUUUAUUCAUAUAUAAUAUUUAUUAUUAAUUAUAUUAAAUUGAUAAAUAAUAAUCAAUUUUUAUAUAUUAAUUACUAUAAUACAAUUAAAUAAUGUAAUAUUAUGUUAUAUUUUUAUUUUCAUAUAUUAUUUAAGUACUUAUUGUUAGUUAUAUUAACUUAUUAAAUAUUAAUUUUAUAUAUUAAUUAUAUAUAUAAUUAAAUAAUAAAUUAUUUAGUUAUAUUUUUAAUAUAAUAAAAAUUAAAAAUAUGAAUAAUAAAUUAUAAAUUUACUAAUUUAUAAUGUAAAAAUGAAGGAAAAUAAAAAUUAAUAUUAUAUAAUAAUAUAUUAAAUUAAAAAGUUAUAUUUAUUUAUUAUUAUUUAAAAAAGAAAAAAGCAAAACUAGCAAGGGGAGGAUCCGCAUGGGGAACCCGAAACUAGCAAAGAUUAUUAGAAAAGAAAUCAAGAAAAGCACAAAAACAACUUUAAUAUCAGAAGAAGCUAACAAGAAUGCACGAGAUUCAAUUUGGAUCUGCAUCUAGAUUAAAAAAGAAUGUGUUUAAUAUUCGCACGGAUUGCAGACGGAUAUUUUAAAUAUUCUUAUUCGUAAAAAUUAAUUUAAUAAUUACAUUAAUUUGAAAAUUAGGUGGUCUCCCAACUAAUUCAACAAUAAUUAUGAUAAAUCAUAUAUAUUAUUUCUAUAAAUGCUUAACUAUUAAAAUACCAAUAAAAUCGAUAAUCAAUCUAUAAAUUAAUUAAAUGAUAAUACAAUUGACAUCAAAUUCACAUUGGUUCGUAGACUUUCUGGUAAUCACGGGGCUCCUAGAGUGAAACGUCGCAGUCGAUACGGCGGUUGCGUGUGAUUUAGGCAACCGUAUGGCUGACCCUAUCUUCUUCCACGGAUUCACGUGAAGUGUCUAUUUCCUGAUACCUUCAAACUCUGGUGGGUGUAAUAAAUACAAACAGAAUAUAACUUUCACGCACACAAGCGACCAAAAGUACGCACAUCCCAAUUCGUCAGUAAUGAAUCAAUUUGAUAACUCGCAAUUAUUCAAUGUCAAAUCACAUCAUCCAAGCAGCUUCCUCCGGUAUGUAAACAACUUUCGGAUUACAUGUAAGAUACAGACUCCCACGAGGCUGCGGGUUCACGUGAGACCCACAAGUCAGUUUGCACACAAGCGACCAAAAGUACGCAUAUGCCAAUUCAACAAUAAUUAAGCAAUUGACAACUCACAAUCAUUAUUAAAUGUAAGGUGGCUAAUUAACAUUCGGAUUUCUCUACCAUUUCAGUCCACAGAAUUGUGGAUUCCGCUUAAGCCAACAGCCAAUAAAGUAACAGCUCCCACAUUCCAUUAACGUACACAGUCAAUACACCAAGCACGAGCUAAACAAAAGCCAGCGCACAAUCAUUAUUCGAAACAUAUAAAAAACAAUCCAAUUGGUAAUUGGUAUAAUUACCAAUUACACAACAACCAGGUGAUAACAUCUCCAUUUUGACAUAAUUAUAAAUAAAUUAAAUAGAUUUUAAGAACAUGCAUGCUAAAAAAAAAAAAAACUUGUUGAAAUCAAUCAUCAAUAGCAAAAUUAAUGAAGGCUCAGCAAGACCCAAAGUGGUUGUGAAAAUCCAAAAUAUCAAUUUUACAACCAAUGGAUAGUUAGACUCAAAAUUACUUCAUUUUGUCAUUCGAAACUCGAAACAAUACUAUAAUUAUGAUCAUGCAUGAAGUAUAAAAUAUAAAUGACAAAAUUCUCAUUUUAUCGAAAUAACAUUUAAGCACGCAUGCAGUAACCUUUCAAAAAAAAAAAAAAAUCUAGUUCAAGAAUAAGAAAUCUGUACAAGAAUUGAAUAAUCCAUGGUGGUUUACUCAAAAUCAUUUCAAUUUCUUGGUGAAAAUCGAAAUUCAAAAAUGUAAUGCAAAGAAAUACCACAAAAUUUGAUUAGAGGAACCAAAACUGAUGACAAUCAUAAGAAACGCAAUGGCUAAUUUACUCAGGUUUUAAACAUAAUGACAAAGAAUUCAUCCUUUAUGGGGUGGCAUGAUAUUUAAAUGCUGGGCUCGUUGGUCUGGUUUCAUGGGCUUAAAACGCAAUUGAAAAAAAGAAAAGAAAAGUAGUAAAUACAAAAGAUUUCACUUUUAUUCGGACCGAUGUAUCACAUGCAUCAAAUAUAUUAUAGUCAAAAUCUCGAUCGAAUAGUUAUUAAUAUUAUAUGCAGCUCUUGUAGUCUUGUAAGUUGAUUCCUUCCUUUAUAAAUUAUGCUCACACUUACAUCCAUGACACACCUAAAUCUUUUGAAAAAGUAGUUAUGCCAAACACACAAUUCGGUAAGCAAUUAAUAAAUUUUUAUUGUGUAUUUUAUAGUUAUAUAUAAAGUGUAAAUGUUUGUCUAUAUCCUAUGUUUUGAGUUAAGUGCCCAUUUAAUUCUUAUACUUUAAAAAUACUUCAAGACACCUUUACUGUGUUGAAUAUGUGACAUUUUUACUUUUAUUUUUUCUUUAUUGUUCCACUAAUAAUACACAUGCUACAAUCUUGAGAGCAUUAAUUAAUUUAUCCAUUAAAAAAUUAAUUAUUAAUUAUUAAUAUAAAAUAACUAGUAUUUUUCAUGCCAUUGCGAAAAUCUUUCUACUAAUUAUUUACAAAUAAAUUAAUACUAGGCAACUUAAAGCUGCAUUUAAUACCUUGCUAUCUUGCUAAUAAUUAUUUAUAAAAAAAAUUAUGCUAACAAAUUAAUCCUAAAAGUAAAAUAAUACUAAAAGUAGAAUGAUGGUUAGUACUAGUCUACUAAAAAAAUAACUGUCAAAAUAUAUUUGUAUAUAUAAAUUUAGAAAUGAUUUUGAUCUUUUUUUAUUUUUUUAACAAUUUUGAUACAACUACAAACACUUUAAUAUAAAUUAUUUUGUCCAAAUUGGUUUGACAUAAUAUUAUGAGGAAUUUACUUAUGUCACUAUUUUAAAAAAUUCAUUAUCAAAACCAAUCAUACGACAAUAUUUCAUACAUUGUUAACAACGUGGACUUGCUUUGGACUAAAUUACCUUUAAAAUAAACCAACCAAAAAUUUGACGAGUUGUCCGAGCAAUGGACUAUAGGGGUGAUGGAGAACAUUGCCCGAGGCAGAUUCAUUCAAGUGAUGGUCAUUGACAUGCCAUCACCCCAGGCAAAUUGAUUUUUUUUAAUUUUCACUAAUUUUAACAUUACGUAGUAAAAAAAAAAAUUAUGAAAACAAGUAUAAGAAUAGUAUUUUAAAAAUGAAAAAUUAUUCUAUCAUAAUAAAUUUUUAAAAAUUAUUCUAAAAAAAUGACAAUAUGAGCAAUGGAAUGUUGCCGAUGGUAGCAUCACCCACAACGUCGUUUUGGGUGAUGUCAUGGAGCCAUCGCCCAGAUUAUCAAUAUGCUCCAUUGCCCAAAUUGACAUGGGAGACGACUCAUAGGCAUGUUAAUUUUAGUUAAGUUCUUGUAAAUAAGUGAUUUUGGCACUAUAAUUAGAGGCGUGUUCAUCAAACUUAACAAUGUAUUUAAAAAAAAAAAUUCUUAGAGGCAUUUUAACAAAUAUCUAAUGUGUCAUAUUUUAUAAAAGAAAAUUAUCUCUUCACCAUCUCUUUUUGUGAUAUUUAGAUUUAACCACAAAAAAAUUUAACAUGCUCUUUGCAUCGUCUUUAUUUCUAACCUUGUAUCAAUGAACAACUUUGACACUAAGAAUUUAAAUAAAAUAACUAUUUUACUCCUAAAUGAAUUAAAUGAUCAUUUUAUCUUACAAAAUUUUAGAAAUGAAAAAAAUUAUAAUUACCAUUUAAUUAAUUGAUAAAAUAUUAUUGAAAAAUUGGAUGUGUGAGUACCAUCUAAUUAAUUGAUAAAGUAUUAUUGAAAAAUUGGAUGUGUGAGUACCAUCUAAUUAAUUGAUAAAAUAUUAUUGAUUUUUUCAAUCAUUUUACUUUAAAAAAAUGUGUAAUACACAUCUCAAAAAGACACUAAAAAAUUUUGUAGAAUAAUAUGAUCUUUUAAUUCAUUUACGGAAAAAUAGCUAUUGUAUUUAAAUUUUUAGUGUCAAGGUGGUUAAUUGAUAUAAAUUGAGAAACAAAGGUGGUAUUAAAGAACAUGUCAAAAUUUUAUAGUGGUUAAAUGUAUAUAUGACAAAAUAGAGGCAAGCUCAAUUCCCACCUUUGGAAAAACAUAUUGACCAACAAAAGAGUUUCGUCUUCAAACCAUUCUUAAGAAAAUUUUAAAUUUUCAUGCCCAAUACAUAUAAUAAUUCCUUAUCUAUCAUUAUAAUCCAUCAAACGAAUAAUUUAAAUAGCAAUUAAAGAACAAAUCGGAUCGAAACCAUGAAAUAAAUUGUGCACAAGCAAAACAAUUUCUCCAAGUGAAGCCAAGCAAAACCAAAUCUUUAAAUUUGAUCAAAACUGUAAUGGAAGCCACCACUGUCAAAGGAACUGGCGAUGUGGGCAAUAUAGAUGGGGGCAACGUGGGUGUUGCUGGUGCUUGUAGAUUUGGUUUUGGUUGGUUUGUUUAAGGGUAGUUUGGUCUAAAGUGAAUAUAUGUGAUUAACAAUUUAAGAAAUUUUGUUGCAAAAUUUGUUUUCACAAUGAAAUUUUUAAAAUGUUCACAUGGAUAAGUUUCCUAUGGCUGAUGCUACAAUACCUGCAUGUAUUAGAUACAUGCAGGUAUUAUGGCCGUUGGAUUCAUUGUAUUGAAUUCAACGGCUGAGAUGAAUUUAAACAAUAAAUAAUAAAAAAAUUUAGAAAACUUAAAACCUAUGGAAUUGGUUUUAACACACAUCAAACCCCCUCAACACACAUCGGACCCCCUUUCCAAAAAAAAAAAAACCACACAUCAAACCCAGGCAUAUAUAUUUGUUAAAAACAAAAAACAAAAAGCUCUCACCUCUCGCAGGAAAUCGAUUUCUUCUUCCUUCCCUCCUCACUCACGGCUCACGGUGUUAGCCUAUAUGACUACAAAUAUUGAUUUUAAUGACAACAAACCACAUGUGUUGAUUAAGCAAAGAUUUAUGAAUUGUGUUUUUACAAUAAGAAAAUAAUGUUAUGGAAUUAAAGUAUUUUUAACUAAAAUGAAAGUAUUUUAAAACCUUUGAUAUUGUUCUAAAAUUUUGGAUUUGGACCUAUUUGAAACUAUUUAAAUAUUUUAGGUCAUUCUAUAAUUUCACAUAGUUUGGGUGAAAUCAUAAUUUCAGAAAGUUUUGCGAUUGACAAAGCAUUACUUAAAAAUUCUGAAAUUGGAUCUAUUUGAAAGUUUUCAUAACAUUUUGGGUCAUAAUACAGUUUUAUAAAGUUUUAGGGUCAAACUAUAAAUUUAAAAAAUAUUUCACUGUAGCAGUUACUGUAGCAAGCGGCUAACCGGAUCCUGACAAACGGUAGACCGAAUUCGGGCAGAAUGUUUCUGGAACUUAAAUGGCUAGCCAGAUUUCACAAGCGGCAUACUGGAUGUUUAGAAAUUCAAAAUUGUGGCUGUAACGGAAACAUUAAGGGGGUAACCGGAUGUCCAUAAACGGUAAGCCGGUUAUGACCAAAAUGUGCAUAACGGCUAAUUUUUGAGCUCGAACUAUAUAAACUCAAAUCCAAUUCAUUUUCAAACUCUCCAACAAGUAUAAACAAAAAGCACACGAAAUAUCUUGAGCCUUCAACUUGCAAAACACAAAACAUUGAAUCAUUUCAUGUUCUUCAUUUUUGAAUAUCUACUCAUUGAGUGAGUUUUAUUGUAACUUUCAUUUCUUCAUCUUAAUUGUAAGAGUUUGAGUGUGUGAGACAUUUGAGUGAAGAGAUUGAGAGAUAAUAUCUUUGUUGUAAAGGUUCAUUGACACCUUGAAGUCAAUUGUAAAAGGUUGAAGCCUUGGAAAGGUUUGGAUAGUGAAAUUCUCAAGCUUGGAUCGCUUGGAGGCGUGGACGUAGGCGGGGUUUGCCGAACCACGUAAAAAUUCUUGUGUUUGUUUCUCUUCUCCCUUACUCAUUAGUUAUUGCGCUUUUAUUGAACUUAUUGCUUUCAAUUUUUAUUAAGACAUUAGAUUGCUUGUUGUGUGGAUUUGCUAAGAAAAUUUUUAAAAUUCCAAUUCACCCCCCCUCUUGGGUUGCACACUUAUAUUUCACACGGCUCCCUCUCCCUACCUCCUCACUCCUCACUCCUCACUCCUCAUUCACGGCUCACGACUCCUUCUCUCUCUCUCCCUCUUCACUCACCCUCACGGCUCAUGGCUCCCUCUCCCUCAUCAUUCACUCCCUCGCCUGCACUCCCUCACGAGACGCCUCAUCAAGGCCAUCAACGGCGGCACUAUCAGGUGACGACACUCGGCGAUUGAUCUCCAUUGGCUGCAAGCAUCUGCGGCUGUAGAUUCACAACCCACUCAACUCCCGUCAGCCCAUUCUGAGUCAUUCUCAGGCUAUCUCUGUAGUCCACCAACAGUAAUGAGACAUGGGUAUCAUGGGUUUUGUUUGGUAUUAUUAUAAUUGUUGAUUGAGUGUUUUAUUUGAUGUGCUAACAAGAUUCAUUCACCUCUCAUAUUUAUAAAUUACAACUUUUACCAUAUAAGCUUAUUAGUGCGUAUUGUUGGGUUAUAUAAUAAUUUACAUGGAUUUAGAAUUGAAGAGAGUUUGAUGACAUUAUUAGUGUGUAUUGACAGGGGAUAUAAUUUAUAGUGUACAAAAGUAUAAUGGUUAAGUGUAAGGCCAAUGUCGCAGAUGAUAUUAAUAUUCAGUCUGAGAAGCUCAAUCCUCCGAGGCCGGGCAAACAUUCGUACAUAUACUACUUGUAAGAAACUAAUUCAUUGUUGAAUUUUUUUCUUUACAUUCUGUAGUGAUUUCAGUUUAACAGUGCAAUAAUUUUAGUUGACAUAUAAAGAACUGAUAUUAUUUUUCUAUCUACAACAAGAUAGAAUCCCAAAAGUUUAAGGAGGAAGGUGUGAAGGUGGAUGAAACGGUUUGUAGACAACUUUUCUAUAUUGUAGCCUACUAACUAAUAGUUAUUUGAUGAUUGGCCAAUGAAUAAUUUUUUUUUGAGUGUAAGUUAAAGGGCGUAUACAUAACAAAUGGUUAAAACUUAGCGCAAAAGAUAAAGCCAAAUUCAUUAACAGUUAUAAUGAAAAUGCUGAAAUUAACUCGAGAUUGCCAGUAGAUUAUUAAGUGAACCGAUUCCAAUAGUGAAGGACAAUUCUGAUAAGGGUAAUCACACAUCGCGAUGUAGUGUUCUGCGGUUCUCCAACAUUGUUUCUUCGUUAUUUAUUGAAUAGUAGGAUGCUGUGAGAGAAAUUGGUUUCGGAAGCUUGUUAGGUUGAAAAUGUGGGCGACUUAGGCAAGAUUUAUGUAAAUUGUUAGUUAAGUAAUGUAAUGUAGAUAAGCGGUCGAUAAUAAUCCAUGGAAUGAAAUACAAGCUUACUAUGGAAACUUUUACAAGCGUGAUGGGUGUUGGUGAUGGAGGAGCACCGAUUGUGCUUGGUGGUGAAGAUAGUAAAAUAACUGACUUACGAGCCAAGUUUUGCUCAAGAAAGAAAGGCAUCCCAAUAGGUAGUUUAGUUGACAAAUUAAAGACAAAUAGUUGUGCAUAUGAGGAUUUCUAUAUUCUAUUUAGUCUAUUUAUGACUGGAACUAUUUUGUGUCCAACUACAGCUACAUACAUCAACCCAUCAUACCUUUAUGCUUUAAAAGACGUGAGUAACAUUCAUGGCAAAAAUUGGGCCAGCCAGUCUUUCAACUUCUUAUGGGAAGAAGUUUCAAAGUUCAAUGAAAAUAAAAUUUCCUCGAUGAAUGGAUGUGUUAUAUUUUGAAUGAUAUGAUUUAUUUUGUAAUUUGUAUUCUCGUUAGUUAAACGAUUAUGGUACUAUCGAUCAUUAUUUAUGUAUUAACCAAUUUGUUCUACAUGUCAUCAACUAAGUUUCAGCUUUCUUCUAUUGUCGAGAAUGGAUGUCAUCUUAGUGCAUGGACUGAUGUAUGGUGACUAAAGUAUGGUGACUUUGAGAGCAAUGCGGUUUGUUCCCUUCUAUAAUUGUAUAAUGUUUUGUAGUUAUGUUAUUAAAUUGAAUAGAUUAUUUAUGGAUAUUUAUAGUUAAUGCAGGUUUCGGUGCAAGAAAUCAGAUGCGGCACAUCAGGUGCUCAAAGUGAAGGACAAAUUAACGAUAGUGACGCAGCAAGUAAGCAUCCAUUUCAUGUUAUAUUAGCAGCAAUAGAUAGAAUGGAGGAGCAUAUGAGAAGAAAUAAUGAUGUGCUACAAAAAAUGGGCUUAAAAAUGGACUAUCUUACUGAAAAGGUUGAAAAGUUAGAACGAGCAUAUUUUCGUAAAGAAUGAGUGAAUUUCGCUAAUGAUAGUGAAUCACCUCUUACAUAUACUAGUGCUGAGGCAACUGAUGGUCCAAUCUUUUCCUCUCCGAAUAUGGAGAUGCACCCGCCUACCCUGCAGUUGCCACACUUUCAGAUCUAGUACGGGAAAAGUGUACGCCCAUCGAAGUUAAAAAUCGAAAAGCUAUAUACCUCAGUACAUCCAUUAAUAAAGAGGUUAUCCUAAAGGAAAAGUUAGCAGGAGUAUUGCAAGACACGAUGAAACCUAAAUUCGUAUCGGAACUUAAAGAUGAGGUAUACAUAGAGUAAUAAUUUGUUAACUUUUGUCCAAACUAAUUAUGAUUUAGUCUAAUCUUUCUUCUUUUUUUGUCUUUAAUAAAUAUGUAGUCUUUCGCGCAACAAGUGAAGAAAUAUCAACAAUCGCAAGAUUUUAAUCUGCUGUCUUUAGGCCCUCAUCGACCAUAUAGAAAUUGAAAGUCAGGGCGGUACCAGCUGUCCUCGUAUGCUCAAGUCUCACAUGGCCCAAAGCCAAAAUAUCGAGCGAGACCUUUUUCGUGAAUGAGCCGGUGACCCUCGAUCAAUUGAAGAUGCUCCAAUAUGAAUUUGACAAAAGCACUAGCCUAGAGUAACAAUGCCUUCAUGCUUGCUUAUUAAGCUGUUUUCGCUUUAUAUGUUGUCAUAGUUAUUUGAUUUUGUUAAUAUAUCAUGUGCUUUACGUACAGUGAAAUAAUUGUGCGAUUAAGUCCUAAGGAUAUCACUCGGCGAGACUUGUUAUCACUUUUAUCGGAUGCAUCACUUGACGAGGAGAUUUGUUCUUAAUUUUACUUUAAUGGUGAUGAUGAGGUUUGUUCUUAAUUUUACUUUAAUGAUGAAAUUGUAGUUAAUAAAACCAAUUAUAAUUGUUCUUGUGUUUAGAUUAUUUGCAUGAUGAGUGAUUACCUUACACAACGUGAGUCAUGCAAAAGCCAUGGGCAACCAAUCAGUUGGUUCCUACCAACAAGAUAUACAGUUAGUAAUCUGUUCUUGUCUUUUUUUUUCAUCUUUUUUCUCAUAAUUAACUAUGGUCAUUUCAGUAGUAUUUUAUAUGAAUUUGAUGUCAUGAAUAUGUAGUAAUUUGCUACAAUUCCAAAUGCACAUUUAGAUGGUUUCAAGGCUGCUUCCCAAUAUCGCAAACGUUAUAUGUAUGACCUGCACCGAUGCCAUCAGGUAGCGUGUGUGUUUAGUUAAAUGAUUAUUCGUUAUGAUCGAUAUUAUGUAUGGUAAAAGUGACCCUAAAUUGUUCUUGAAUAGAUAUUUAUUCCCAUGCAUGAUGGUGACCACCAUUGGUUUAUGUUGUUGGUUAAAAUUAAAGACAAACAUGCAGAGAUCUAGGAUCCACUACCGGAUGCACGACGGACACGAGAUCCAGAAAUUCAAGUGAAUAGUAUUGUAAGUCUGACCAAUUUUCGCUUAAAAAGAUGAGUUUAGUUUUCUAUGUAUUGUGUUAUUAAUACAUGUGAUGUUGAUUUCACUUGAAAAUAUUUACACUCAUUGGACGCUAUACUUCAUGGCGUCGUGGAUGCUACAUAUUCAGUAACUUGGAGUUUCUUGUCAUUUGUAGUGACCCAUGGGAAAGGAGUUCCUCGGCAACCUAAUAGUUUUUAUUGUGGAGUUUACGUCAUCAAAUUUAUGGAUACUCUUGGAAUCAUCGUCAACAAAUCAUAUGUGGUAUGCUGCUUAUUCGCCUGAUAUGGUAUCUUCAUUGAUGUUAAUAAUAUUGUUGGGCCAUUGACAUGAUGAAAGUGCAUGAUUAUUUCGGCAGCAUGACUCACAGAAUGUUCGGGUGCAACUUGCGUUACAACUUUUGGACUCUCCAUUCAACGAACAACGCGAUCAAUUAUUGGCGUUGACUAAUGCACACUACAGUAACGCUCCAACUUACAUAAACAAAUCGAAGUUGGUAUCAACAAUGAAGCCUCGUAAUGUGUCCACCAGAAAAUGUCAUAAGAAUAGUUACACAAAACGUCGUUUUAGGCGGAAGGGCUGAGAUUGUUGUGAAUAUAGAUUAUGAUAAUCUUUUGUUGACUUCAUACACAAUUGUUAACUUUUACUAAAAUUAGCUUCUAACUGGAGUUUUAAGAAGAGUCAUGUAAAUUGUUUUAAUGAUCCGAAGCCGUAGAGGGAUUUAUGGGGUUGUUUUGAUUUUUUUCUUCAUCAACCAGUUGUAUUGAUUAAUACUUGCUCAAAGAAAGAUAAUUGUUGUAAAUGUUGCUAUUAUCACCAAGUACGCAAAAUAUGUUAUUACAUUGCCAUUGUUCACUUCUUACAUGAUAAUAUAACUCAAUGAUUUUCAAAAAGUUCGUUUUGCCCCUUUGGUUCAGAUCCAAAAAGUGUUUCAUUAGUGAUCAUCCACCAUCCCAUCCUCCAAGGAUGUGUACCAUCGUCAACUAUCCAUAAUGUAAAUCCGAGUUAGUUAAACAACCUAGGAAAGUUAGUCAAGCAAAAUCAUAUAUCAUGGGAAAUCACUUACAAGUUAUUAUGAGGCCACCAAUUAUAUUAUGUGCUUGCAUCGGUUUCAUAGUUUAUACCAAAUGUAUUACUGUUGUCGCAAUGGCCAUCAAUUACUUAUGAGAUGUCAUGCCUCGACGAACAAGUUGUCUCGAGUAUAAAUGUUGGGGAACUUGGCGGGAUUGAUGCCAUCGAAAUAGUUGGUGUUAACACAUUAUAAGUACAAGUCGUUUGCUGAUCGUUAGUCGAUACACAACCUAUACCGCCAACACUGUAGUGAAGGUUAUUGGGCUGUAUGUCCUUUGGCGGAUAUAGCAGGCAAGUCCAUUUAGUAUGGCCAGGUUGAAAACACUUAUUGCAUUUGCGAUUUUUAGCCCCAUCAUGUUUAACGAUUUUAGAGCAACCUUUACUGUUAACCUUAAUCGGGUCUUUCAACUUCAUACCCGAUUGAAGUACACAAUUCUUCGCCCGUUUAGUUGAUUCAUCAUCACCAAGCAUAUGUAGCGUCAGCCGUUGAAUCUCGUCGAAUGCUAUUAUAUAACUUUGUUCAUUCUUUGCGGCAAAAAGACAAAGAUUAAUACAUGUUGCUGAAAGUGAGCCAAACUACGCUGUUUCUAAGACUUCCUUAUCGAGGUGUGAUGCUGCAGCAAUCAUUUUCAUCACUUUACUCACCUUCGCUGAUUUAGUCUAGCAAGCAAGAAUUAAUGUUGAUGGUAUACGAACUAAUUGCUCCAACUUCAUGACAUAAAAUAUAUGCCUACAUGGAAUACCUGCAGAUUCCAUCAUCUGGCGUGAACAAGUAAUUGCAACUUCUUUGUUAUAAAACACCACUAUCUAUUUUUGUUCUGGAUGUUGAAAUUUCGUCAAAGUAUAGAUGUGGGAAUCAGUUGUCUUGGCCUACUCGAGCAUAAUCAACGUGGCUUCUUCGAGGAUCUCCAUCCGAACCCACUUUAAUACAUUCCUUGUAUAUAUUUCAGAUGCAUGUUUUUCAAUACUUUGCAGAUGCGCGGUAAGAACAGGGGCUAUGUGGUUUGUGUCAAACUCAUCUUGGACUUCUUUGUGCCUUAUGUAAUACAUUGUGCAAUGGAUUUAUCUAAUAAAAUCAUAUAGUUUUAACUUCUGUGCAACAAACCGCCGCAAGUAAGAAUUCAAGCUCUCACACCUUUGUGUGGUUCGCAUUCCAGCAAAAAAUGUACCUUUCAAAUAAGCCUUUGUUUAUUUUUCGCGCUUUGUAUACAUAUUUUGCACCCAAGGAUUUUAUUUCAAUCCCAACUCAUAGACUACAGAGAACUAUUGUCGUUCAAACUCCUCCAUGGCAUUGGAUUCAACAUUAACUGCCGAAACUUAGACGUGAACUCAUAUGUCUUUACAUUUGCUUGUGCAUUCCUCUCAAGAUGCCAACUACAGAGUCGAUAAACACAUCCAGACAUAACAGUUUUAAUCGCUUUCGACAUAACUUUAUCACCGUCGGUUCUCGUGGGCUUUUUUUUUUCCAUCGCAGACAAAAAAGUCUGUGGAAGCCAUACAUAUGAUUCAACAGUUUCAUCAAUCAGUAUCGCAAAUCAAAAAAUGGUGGUUCUUUUGUGAUGAUUUACACCAAUGACCAAAGGUUUGUUGUAUGCAUUUUUCUUGUACGUUGCAUCAAAUACUAAAACAUCUUCAAAUUGUUCAUAGUCAUACCGAGACAAGUUACGCAGUCUAUUUUCCUCAUCCAGUGUAUACUCAAAGUACACUCCAACAUCAUAAUCGGCCCUUGCAGAUAAGUACGCAAUGACAUCUUCUGUACACUCCAACAUCAUAAUCGGCCCUUGCAGAUAAGUAUGCAAUGACAUCUUUUGUAUCGGUGUCAAUAAUUUGGGCAUAGUGGCAUGCGUAUAUUCUGUUCUGCAUGUCUUUACCCAUAUACCCAACAUGAUAGAACCUUCUUGCUUGAUCAGACUUGUAAUUCAUGAACUGACACACUUUCACCCUAACUUGUCGCAAUGCCUUUGCAUGAGCCAAAUCAACAUCGUUGACAACUCUCUGCGAACGAAGAAAUUGUGUCUCGUGCAGUUCAACUAAGGGAUGAGUGUGCUUAACAACUAAUUUAGUUACCACGUACUUCCCUUUCAACUUAUCGUAGUUCACUCGAAGUUCAACCUUGCAUCCGUUACGACUAAUGCCCCUCGGUUCCCUGACCUGUCUAUUUUCUCCAUCCAUUUUUUUAGUCUGUAUCCUUGUCUUGAGCAAACCCAUCGCCAACUUGCUACUUCACCACUUUUACCGUCAUGCCGGAGCUCAUCUUUUCUCACAGAGAAUCCAAUGGACUUGGUAUAAUUUUUAUGCCAUACGUGGGCAUCAUUUACAGUAUCAAAAUAUGAUCCCACACCUACUGGAAUGGGUUCACUUUUUGCAAGCACAUUGUACGUUGUCUGAGUAAAUGAUCUUGUAUCAGAUAUAUCCCCAAAAUAGUUAUUGUUAUCGCUAAUUUGUUGGGUGACGUACCUGCACUUGCACAAUUUUCCAUCUCAUUAUCAUUGAAUAUGUUAUCUUCGGCUUCACUAGUUUCCUUUUUUGAUGACUUGUUAUCAUUAACAUGUAAAACCCAUGUAGAAAUACUUCCCACGUCCGAAGUUGUUGUCAUAGUGUGUAUUGAUCAUCCCCGAGCCUCCAAGUAAGAAAAUGUACUAGUUUUUCCCUUUACUAAGAAGCUUAGUGGUUUCUAGGUUGGGUUUUUAAAGAAUUUAAUGUCACCAUUAAUGAAAGAAUUGGUUGGUGCCUAGAUUGGUGUACAAAUAAAUUAACAUAGCUAGCUCUUUGGAUUGAAAAAGGGCAGCCUCUGCGUGUGAAAUGACGAGCCAUUUUCAGUCCAGAGAGCAUGUUUUUUUAAAAGGGCUAGUCGUUUCAGGAAGAGGUUAGCCGUUUGGGGUUGCAUGCUCUCUGGACUAACAAAGGCUAGCCGUUUCACAGAAAAAGGCCAACCCUUUUCAAUCCAGAGAGUAUGUUUUUCGAAAAGGGCUAGCUAUUUCAGGGAAGAGGCUAGCUAUUUGGGGUUGCAUGCUCUCUGGACUAAUAAAGGCUAGCCGUUUCACGAGAAAAGGCCAGCCCUUUUCAGUCCAGAAAGCAUGUUCCUAUAAAGGGCUAGCCCUUUCACGGAAGAGGGUAGUCAUUUGGAGAUGCAUGCUCUCUGGACUAAAAAAGGCUACCCUCUUUGACGGAAGAGGCCAACCAUUUUCAGCCUAAAAAGCAUGUUUCCCGUAAAAGGCUAGCCCUUUCACGGAAGAGGCUAGCCAUUUGGAGAUGCAUGCCUUCUGAAAUAAACUAAUUGCUUGUUUUGGGUAGGGUUUUUUGGUCGAAAACGGCUAGCCAUUUUUUUGAAAAAGCGUAGCCGUUUUCAGUCCAGAGUCCCUCACAUUUGUAAUGGCUAUCCUCUUUUAAAAAAGAAAAAUUAUCAGCCAUAUACCCUUAAACGACACCCGUAUCAAACGUGUGUAAACACUUUUCAAGUAUAUCACUCGUAUAUUCUAAGUUGACAAAACACUUAUGCCGUCAACCAUUUCAUUAACUUCCGUUUGCAAGCGCUGACAUCAUAAGGGUAAUCUAGUCUUUUAAGACUGACGAAACUUUGAUUAAAAAAAACAACAUGUAAUCCCAUUUACCGAGUAAAAAAUGACAUGUCAUAUGAUAUAUAUUGAUAAAAAUGACAUGUCAUCCCAUUUAUCGGAUAAUUGUUAAUAAUUGCUAAAAAAACUAUUUUACAAUUGAAUCUACUCCUCCGAAAUUUAACCUAAAUUUUUGAAGAUCUACUCCUCCAAGCUCCAACUGAAAAAUUUUAUGGUAUAAUAUGUAUAAUUGUAAAUAAUAUGUUGUUAAUAAUUUUUUAUGGUAUUAUAUGGAUUUUUUAUGGAUAAUUGUUAAUAAUAUGUACCAGUAAUAAUUUAUUUUUUUAAUAAAAAAAUGUAUAGUUAAUAACAAAAUAAAAAAAUCGUGUAUUGAAAAUUUACGUUAUUUUUUGGGGUAAAUAUCUUUUUACCUCAUUUUGAGUUUUGAAGGUAAAAUAGUCAACUUGCCACAAUUCUGUUAACUUUCUAACGGAAGUUAACGAAAGGGUAAUUUUUAGGGACCUCCCCUGAGGUUUACCGUAUUGACACAUAAAGAGAAUGUAUUCAUAUAAUUACAACUACCUCCCCUCCCAUUAGUAUUCGGUUACGUAUGGCAUCAGUAUAUGAGUGUAAAUAUGUAAAAUUACCCUUUAAAAUUCAAAAGAAUUCAAAAGUGUAGCUUUGUGAGGAUUGACGUCUGCGAAAAUUGUAAGAGUUUACUCCAUUAACUAGUGCUCUGCAAUAACCAAUGGACAAAAGUAAAUAAAAAUUUUCACGAAAUGAAUAUUACACUUAGCCUUCUCUUUCAUGUAAACAACACCCAACAACAUCUUCAUCUUUAUGUAGCUGUGAAGGAGAGCUUCAUUUGCCUGAAGGAUUUGGUGCAAAAAAGAGGUAACGAGAUGAGUUCUGGUGGUGGCCCAAGUGCACAACGAAGUGAGUAUUGGUGACGAACGCCUUCAAUCGCGACUAGAAUUGGUGCGAAAAAGAGGUCAUCCUCAUUUAUUACUAUUUAAAGAUAUAAAUCGGAUGCAACAGAUGCAAUAGAUGAGUGGGAUGAUUUUGUGUUAAUAAAAAUGAAAAUGGGUUUUUCAUUUCAAUUUCCACCAACCCCUGAGACUUAAAAAAAUAAUAAAGAAAAAGAAAUGGAUUAAAAGCAUGAUGAUGGUUCCGUGUUCAUUCAAUGGAUUAAAAGCCCAGCUCAAAGAAAGAUUAAAAGAUCUUUGCAUUCACAUGUCACUGUAAAUUUAAGGCCGUCUCUAAUUUUACGAGUGACCACUUUGAUGGAAUUAAUCCAACCGAAAAAUUUGAGAGGAUUUUUUAUGAAAUUUUAACCUCUAAAUUACUACUCAACAGAGUUGCCCAUUUAUAUAUAGAUUAAAGAGCAUCCCCAUCCCCUGUUAAGUGUUAAUUAAGCUUGUUAUAAGUUACUAAUCAAUCAAAAUAAUAUCUAGCGAGUAAAUGAACUUAGUUAUGGAUUUAUAAGUGUUUCAACUCAUGAUCGAAUAAUCAUCAUCUGCAACAAACUUUCGAAAGGCAUGUAAAUGCCCAAGCAUGUGUUAAUGAUAACUGCAGUUUAAUAAUUUGGUUGGGGUCAACUAAAGUUCAUCUGCUAACAUCCCUUAUGAUAUAUUAAUUUUAUAUAAAUAUACAUUUGUUUCUUAUUAUAUAAAUAUAUAAUUCUAGUUACGAUUUUGCUGUUAUUUGCUUACCAUGUGCUAUUAUUUAUAACUUGCAGUCAUGUUUACAUGGAGAUAGAGGUUGUGGUAGCUGGUGAAAAAUUAAUGUAGCGACAGUAAUUCCAGAGCAACACACCUUAAAUAAGUUGUGGCAAGAUGUCAGAGAUAUUUGUUUUGAUAAACCUAUAAGGCAUGCUAAUGAAGUCAAAGUUGAUGUCAUGUUGACAUGGGAGACAACUAAUAUGCAUAUGAAAACUGAUUCUGACCUACAAAAUGCAUUUAAAAAGCUGAAGAAAAUCAGUUGCUCAUGGGCCACGUUUAUUAUUAGAAUAUAGUUUGAUGCAGCACCUGUUUUGUUCGAGAAGAAUGAUAAUGAAGAGACUCCACCUGACCAGUUCUCUGUUUCACAAGAUACUGAGCUAGAUUGGUUUGAUUUAGCUGGGGUAGAUGAAUUUGCAUUGUCGAAUUUAAAUGCUGAAGUCACUGCUAGUGCUGGAUUUUCAAAUUCUACUGUUGUAGUGCUUGAAAGUGAUAAAGAUAAUGGCAAUACAGCUGGCGAGUCUAUUAGUGCCGGUUGUUGUGCAAAUUUUAAUGUACUCGCAAGCGUACGAAUCUAUUGUAGUAUAGACUAAUGGUGACGAGUGUCGAUCCCACGAGGAGGUGGAUUUUAAUUAUGUGUGUAGAAUUAAUUUUGUAAAUGGGUUGUUGGAUUUAUGGUGGAAAUGAUUUAGAAUAUGCUAAGACUUAAAUUAAAAUGGCGAGAAUAAAUUCUAAAAUUGGAAUUGCAAUUGAGAGAAUAAAUUGAAGAGAAAAUCUAUUAAAUUGACGUACUUGGGUAUCUGGAUCCGUAUCAACAUGCAUCAUGGGCUAAAUAAUUCGUAUUAAUGCCAAUUAAAUCAUGAGGGGGGAAUCCACACCUCAUGAACCACGCUCUAAUUAAUAUGGUGCUAAGGGCUUAUCGUGCCAAAUAAUAAUAACCUUGUACCAGAGGGCCGGUGAAACCAAGGCGGUACUAGACAAGAUUAGUAUUAUUUGUCGACGAGAAGUCAAAACAUCCACAAAAACUAGAGGGGAAGAGAAAAUAAAUUUACCAAAUAAAGCCCAUGACACAUGUUGAGACUUCACCUUCAACCCAAGCUUGAAAGAAAAUUAGCCACUCAUAAUUGAACUAGGGGUAAAAUGGAAAUUUAUUAAAAUACGAAGAAAAUACAAGAUGGAGAGGGAAUUACAGAAAACAAAGUCCAAAAAUGGAUUCAGAGAUAUCAAAUUAGGGGGGAGAGGCCCCCUUUUUAUAGAUACAUGGAGUAAAUCAUGGCCAUCGGAUUAAAAACAGUUUGGACGCUCAGGAUUGCGCCACGUCAUCAGUCAACAGUCCACGGUUUGACCACGCGGAUGAACAGUAACACGGUUUGACCCGACUUUGAACAGUAACGCGGUUUGACCCGGAUGAACAGUAAUGCGAUUUGGUUGAAAAUAAUCCUGUGUGAUGCAUGCACCGUACACGAGAUUUUUCGUCCACUGAUAUGCUGCCACGUCACCAUCAACAGUACAUAAGAAUUUUAGUCCAACAGGAUCGUGACACCUCAUCAGUCAAUGCCACAUCAUCAGUCAAUGCCACGUCAUCAUCCGUCUAUGUGAACAGUGUCGUGAACAGUAACGUAGACAGUACCGUACACGUGAAUAGUACCGUACAUGUGAAUAAUGCCAUUUUUCCUUUUAUGCUCCUCCUAAGGUUUUUGACUGUCCUGAGUUCAAAAGUGAUGUCCGUUUUGCCGUCUGAUUUCUCCUUUAUUGUGAAAUGACUAUAAUGCCCCUAAAAUACAUAAAAUACUUAAUUAAAAUAAAACACAUGUAAUUAAAUCACAAGAAGGUUAAAUACAUAAAAGUAAGGGUUGUUAGUAAGACUUGAAAUGUAAAAUGACGGUUUUCUCCUUUAUAAAUAUGCAUUUUCUAACACUCAACACCGGUAGUAAUAUGAAUGUUCCUGAUCGAGAAAAUAACAUGGAUGAUUUGGAAUCUGAUGUGAGUGAAGACGAGUUUAAAUUUGACUACGAAGAUGAGUGGGAUUCUGGAUUGGAUAGUUAUGAAUUUGGUGAUAACAGUGGGCCAUCUUCAGAUAAUGAAGAUGAAAAUGUUCAAGCUGCUGCCUGCAAGAUAUGAGGCAAAUUCAGGUGGCUUUGAGUUCACCCCUGAUGGUGGUAACAUUGUGCUUAAAGUCGGCCAAUUGUUCAAGACAAUUGAUGAGUUUCGAAAUGUUGUCAAAGUGUUCGCAAUAAAAAAUCGUUUCAGACUUAGAAGGGUAAAGAAUGAGAAAAGUAGAGUGACAUUAAAGUGUUCAGCUCUAGGAUGCACUUGGAGAAUACACGCGAGCCCAAAUUAGAACAAAAAAUAUUUUCAGAUAAAAACUCAUAUGCCUAAACAUCUCUGUGAAAGAAACAAUGAGAACUAUGAGGCAACUUCAACAUGGAUUGCAGCCACAUUCUUACACUUGUUCAGAGGCAACACACAACUCCCUAUUGACGUGUUGGGGUCAUAAUUGUUUAGAAAUUAUGGGAUCAAAUGCUGUAAUCAAAGGCUAUACAGAGCAAAGAACAAAGCCUUGGAGCUUCUUGGUCAAGACCACAAGGCUAGUUUUACUAAGCUAUUCAGGUACAUGCAUGCAAUCUUAGACUCAAAUUCUGGUUUGACAAUAUCAUUAGAAAAGGAUUGGCUUGGUGGUGGGGUGAAUCCUCACUUUAAAAUUUUUUUGUGUUCUUUGAUGCAUGUAGAAGGGGUUUUUUGAAGGUUGUAGGCAGUUCGUAGAUAUAGAUGGUUAUCAUUUAAAAGAUCUAUAUAAAGAGGUGUUAUUGUCAGCUGUAAGCAUAAAUGCUAAUCAUGGCAUACAUCCACUAGCCAUGUGUGUGGUUGAAACUGAAAACACUGACUCUUGGGUUUAUUUUAUGGAGAAACUAUAUGAUCAAAUAGGUUGUAAUGAUGGUGAGGGUUUGUGCUUCAUGAGCGACAGGCAAAAGGGUAUAUUAAAUGCACUUAAUAUGGUUUUUCCUAGAGCUAUGCGAAGGUACUGUUGUAGGCACAUAUACGCAAAAUUUUAAGCUGAAAUUUCCAGGAAUCUUACUUAGAAAGGAAUUUUGGGCAGCAUGUGGAAACCAAGUAGAGCUCAACAACCAUAUGGCUGAAAUUAAUAGCAUCAGCCCUGCUGCUCAUAGGUGGCUGUUACAAAUUCUUGUGACAUGUUGGGCCAAACAUUGCUUCCCCAAUAAACCAAGUGCUCACAUGUCACAAACAAUAUGACCGAGUCCUUCAAUAAUUGGAUAGGUAGUGUCAGAGGCAUGCCAAUAGUAAGAAUGUUGGAGGAGAUUAGGAGGAAGAUUAUGAUUCUUAUACAAAAAAGACAUGAGCUAGGCAAGACUUGGCAUGAUGAACUGCCGCCACUUGUUAGGAGGAGGUUAAUAGAUGCAAGGGUUGAAUCUGAUCAUUAUCUGUUAUAUUUGGGCACAAUAAUUCAUUUGAAGUCAUGGAAGAUGUCUCUAGGAGGUGUGUUGUGGAUUUAGGCAGCAAGCAUUGUGAUUGUGGGGAGUGGGUUGUUUCAGGCUUGCCUUGCAAGCAUGCUAUAUGUUGCACUGAUGCAAUGAGAUAUAAUGUGAAUGAAUAUGUCCAUCAUCUCUUGAAAAAAAAGUACAUUCAUGAAGACCUAUCAGUACCAGUUACAUCCAGUGCUAGAUGAAAGCAGAUGGGCAUUACUCUUGCAUGAUAACUUACUACCACGGACUGUGACAAAAGUUGCUGGCAGGCCCCAAACUAAAAGAAAAAAAGAGGAUGGUGAAAGACAACCAUUUAAGAGGAGUUCAAGUGUAAGAUGUUCUAACUGUGAUAAGCGGGGCCAUAAUGUAAGGAGUUGCAAAUUUGUUAUCAAAGGUGGAAAACACAAAAGAUUUACGAAGAAGAAAUUACAUUAGGUUGUAAUUACUUGCAUCUAUUAUAAUUUUUUCAUUGCUGUCUUCAAUCUUAGUAUGUUUUGAUUAAAAAUUAUUGUAUAAUCUAAUUAUUUAUGUGUAUAAUCAAAGAGAGACAGGAGCUUGUGCUGGAGAUGCUGCAGUAGCUAAUGAUGUUGUGAACACUCAGAAUAGUGUCCAUGAAAAUGGUAAACGUUUCAUGUAUCAUUUUUUUAAGUUAAUAUGUAUGCACAAAUUUAAAUACACCAACAGUUUGUUUCUCUUAUGCUAUAAUUUCAAAUAAUAUAUAACAUUAAUUUUUUUUUUUGGAUUAUUAAGGACAACUUACUCAAGAAUGAGCACUGCCAAGUUAAAACAUCCAGCAGCAUUAGAAACACCAUUUUGUAAUUAUGAAGUGAAGAUAUCAGGAGCCAAGUUAAUCCCUUCUAACAAAAUUUUUUGAGGGAUUAGAUGAUACAUCAUCUUCAACUGUAAGCAUUGAUACGAAGAAGUUGUCGUAUCAUCUUUUUGUCACUCAGCGGUGAUAUAGGUUUGAGUUUUUGUACAUUUUGUUGUUGUGCGGUACAUAACACAACUGUUGAUGACGCUAUGUAUGCUUUCUCUGUUUUGUUCCUGUCAAGUUAUUACUGUAAUAGAUGACUUGCCACUACAAGUUUAAAUACUGACUGCUGGUAUUUGUAUUGGCUGAUAGGAAUUCAGUCGUUAAUGACAUGUGACACUUUAUUGUUGCUGAAUGCAUAUGAAUUUAUAAUUUAUAGUCACAAGUAAUGUUUAUGUAGUUUUAUUACUUAGUUCUUUAUUGAUUUUUGUUUAUGUAGUUUCAUUACUUAGUUAAUGCUGUGGUUUCUUACUCUGUGUGUUUGUUGUGCUUAAGACUAUCACUCGAAACAAUAGAAUUUGCUUUGUUUGUGCUUGAUAUUACAAAGUGAGACCUGCUGUAUGUGUUUAUUGUGGUUGAUACUGUCAGUUUGAGAAUGAAUUUGUAUUGCAUUUUUACUUUUGCUCAGGGAUUUACUGGUUGUCCUGUGUGAUGGGAGUUGUUGUGUGUGCUUGAUAGUGUUAGUUUUAACAAAAGCUUGUUAUGUGCUUGAAACUAUUAUUAUACUUUUGCUCAGGGAUUUACUGGUUGUAAUUCUAUUUAAGGAUUGAUUUUUUGUGCUAUUCACUUACUAUGCUAAAUACUAUCAGUUUGUAUAACAUAUUAUUGUCACAUGCAUUAUCUUUUUUAUCAAUUAAUACAUUACAUAGAAAAACCACUAUAUUUUACACUUCAUUGCAUUAUGCAAACAUAGGAUAGCUUAGGCAUAUUAGUUCUUAAGCAUAAUUAAAUUCAGCACAAACAUAACUAAGUUCAAGUACAUCAUCAUCUUAGUUCUUAAGCAUAAUUAAAUUCAGCACAAACAUAACUAAGAUCAAGUACAUCAUCAUAUUAGUUCUUAAGCAUAAUUAAAUUCAACACAAACAUAACUAAGUUCAAGUACAUCAUCAUCUUUACAACAGCUUCACCAAAUCCUGACCUUUGCAGCUUCUUCAUAAUAGUCUUCACUUCUUUCACAUUUGAUUCAAUAGCAUUUAGGGUAUCAUAAUCCACAAUAGCACUUAAAUUCCCCUCAAACACAGCUCCAUUGUUGAAAUCAUCCCUUGCUGGACCCACCAUUUGAAGUAUACGCAUGUUGUUCUGUUCGGGCAUAUAUAAUAAAGCUUGUGAGGAUUCUCAUCCGAUUCGGAUAUCAUCACCUUGGCUCUCAUACGACAUCUACAGAUUCAAUUUGAAAACUUAAUCAGCCUCCCAUUAACAAAGUUCCUCCAAGCUGGCUCAUAAAUUGGUUGCGUAUUUGAUCGGUUGGAUGUGUUUGAGCUUUCAGAAUCCAUGUGGUUGAGAUAGUGUUUGAUCUUGAUUAUGUUGAAUGCUUCUGUUGGUGAGUUGGAUGAAUGCUUAUAUUGAUAAAUAAAUGCUUUUGUCAAUGAACUAAAUGAAUGAUUCUAAUGAUGCUGAUGAUGAAUGCUUCUAUUGUCAUGAACUGAAUGCUUCCCUUGAUGAGUUGAUGAAUGAUGAUGAUGAUGAUGAUGAUGAGUGCUUCUGUUCAAGAGUUGAAUGGAUGAUGACUUAAAAUCGUAAGAAGAAGAUGAAGAUGAAGAUGAAAUUCUGCUAUGGUCAUUUGCUAACUUGCCCAGGCCUUUUAUAGUUGCUGCUGCUACUCAAAAUAUUACUGUUUACUUACAACGGUAAUAAUGGCAGCUUUAAUUUAUUUUAUUUUUUUAAAUAAUAAACAAUGUAAAUGAAAUCACAUAGAUGAGUAAUUUGAUCUUUUUUAGCUUUUUUAAUUCUAGUGUUAAAUUUAUUACCUAUCGGUUCUCAAAGUCUUGUUUUAUAACUUAUAAUUUUGGCGGGAAGGGUAAUUUAGUAAUUUCAAUAGUCAACUAACAGUCAAACUAACCGAAUACUAAUGAAAGGGGAGGUGGUUGUAAUUAUGUGGAUACAUUUUCUCGUUAAUAUGGAAAAUCUUAGGGGGGAUCUCUAAAAAUUAUUCGUUAACGGAAUAGUAGACGGCAGAAGUAUUUUGAACGACAGAAGUAUUUUGACAACUUAGGGUGCGUUUGGGAUUGAGAUUGGGCAGCUGUAGUUUAAAAGGUACAGCAUUAAAGUGUUUGGUAAACACUAACUGCUGUAGCUUUUAAGCUAUGUUGAUAUGAUUUUUUACUUGUAUAAUAUAAAAUUUAUUAUAUCUUUAAUAAUUUUAUCAAAAUUAUUAUUUAAAAUUUAUAUUUACUAUAUAUUAUUAAUUUUUAUUUCAUAAUUACAACUUUUUUUUCACAACAGCUGUAGCUUAGAGCAUCUCCAAAAGCCUCUAUAAAUUUUACUUUUCAAAUACCUAUUUACUUAUCUAUGUGGCAAAUAGAAGGGUGAAAAAAUAUGAUAUUCUCCAAAAGACUCUUCAAAUAGAAAUAAGUUAAUAUUAUUUUAAUCAUAUAAUUAAUUUUUUAAAAGAAAAAUCAAUAGCAAUUAAAGCAAUUCUCUCUCUUUCUUAAAUGAAAAAUAAUAAAAUAUAAAUUAAAGAGGGAAAAAUUAAUUCUCUAAAUUUAAAGAGAGAAAAUUAAUUCUUAUUUAAAUAAUUUCAAUUAAAAUAUUUUUUAAAAUUUUAAAUAUUAACGUGACUCUUUAAAUAAGUAAUAAAAUCUUAUUUAAAAAAUUUGUUAGUGAUGCUCUUAAAAGCUACGUCACUUCAAUCCAAAGGCACCCUUAUAAUAUAAGGGUGAUUCAUUUAAAAAGUGUCAUUAAAGGUAUAUUGCAUAUCAUUUCCCUUAAAAAAAUGGCUACCGUCUCCCUCACUCGAAGUUCAUCACGCGACUACCUCUCUCGGUGGCCUUCCAAAUUCACGACUUCUUCAGCCAUUAACGAGAAAAUAUACAAGUGCUCAUCAUUUUCCUUUAUUUACACAUCUAAAUUCCAUUAACUAAUUACUCUUUCACCCUAUUUCACCAAAGAACCCAAUUGAAAACCCUAGGUUCAGCCGAGGUUGUUUGUUUAAAAUUGAGUCCUUGUUCACUUCUUAUUGCUGAAAUUACUCGCCCAAAUUGAUUUUAAACCCGUUUGCGUGCUAUUUCAUCGAUUAGUCUUGACCUAAAACACAAUAGUUGUUAUUCAAAUUAAGGCUUUGGUUUCCAUAGCAAGUGGUGAAACUUCACGGCGGAAACAAGGAAAGCAUGUGGGUAAGAAGAAACGGCAAUGCCCCGCCGACAGCCCUGACGACAUCCCUGACUUCAAUUCAACCCACUUUCCAACUACUCCAAUGGCAAACCGUUCUACGACCGAUUCAUGGGCCGCCCGGUAUUAUCCUCUUACUUUGUCAAUAUGGAUUGUAUGGAUAGCCUUUCUAUUUGCAAUAAAAAGCUUAGGGAAUUGCUUGAUGGUGUGGGAUGGUCUAAUGCCUUGAAUAUUGCGGAGAAUGCGUACCCUAAUCUUAUAAAGGUCUUUUACUCGAGCAUGGAUGCUUCCGCUGAAAAACAAAAUUGAGUGAUCACAAGUGUUGCUGACAUUCCAAUUGAAUUUGAUGUUGUUGUCCUAAAUUCAAUCUUAGAAACAAAAGAUGAAGGGUUGGAAUUAUACUCAACUAGGAAGGAACUAAAAUUCAAGAGAUAUGCCCAUGUUAAUGCUGUUAGGAACAUCUGUAGGCGUUCUGAUUUAUUUGAUGAUGUAUGCAAUCUUCAAUUUCCUGCCCAGUAUUUGUGUUUGCAAGUUCGAAUUCUGCACAGCAUACUCCAGCAUGUGGUCACUCCUAGGGGCGGGCAUGCUCACCAUGUGACGCGUCUGGAUGUGGCAUUAUUAGAUUGUAUUUUACGGGGUCGCAAAGUAAAUUUUGGUUAUGUCAUCCUUAGGCACAUGCUUAGCAUUCCUGCCAUCAAUAAUUGGUCUUUUGCCUUUGGUGGAUUUAUUACUCGAAUCCUUACACAUUUUUGACUUCCAAUUGAUGAGCCCACAUUUGACACCUCGAAGAAAUUGGGGGAUGAGCUUAUUCUCAGUUUAGGGUUUGAUUGCAAGAAUGGAGAAUGGGUUAAGGAUAGUUUGAUAAAAAACAGGUACACCCUCAUUGCUCCUUCAGAUCGACGAAUGCUCAAUGAUGUUGUGCCUGUGGAUCAACUGCCGGAUUGCCGUACCUUUCAACGACCUCAACCUCCCCCUUCCGCUCCAGAGGAACAUGCUCCAGCACCUAAUGAUGAUCAGGUUCAACUGCUGUUGGGAGAGGUUCGCACGUUGUCCGAACAGCAAGCCCAAUUUCAGCAGCAUAUACUGGACGAGCAGUGACGACUUGUUGAGGAGCAGCAGCUCAUUUCUGACCACCACCAGCAGCUUGUCAAAGGCCAGCAAGCCAUCCUUGAUGCUCAGCGGCAGCUCUUCGAAGCUCUAAGGUUUCCUUUCCCACAUCUACCAGCCCCCUAGUUGCUGUUGGUUAAGACUAGUGAUGGUUACUGUUAAUUUUGUUUGUUAGUUUUGGUUUGGCCUAACUUUUGAAUAUUGUUAAACUCAACAUCAAUGGUUUGUAGACUAUGAAAAAAAUUAUAUCGAUUUUUCUAUCUCUAAAUUUCGAGUGUAUUGCAAAGAUGUGGCUUCAUAAUUUUAUUGGUUGGAAUUGGUGGUUUAUUUGCUGGCGUUCGAGGUGCUGCUGCUGUUACGGCUGUUGCAUAAGCAGCUGUUGGAAUUGCAAAGAUGUGGCUGCAUAUGCAGCAGCUGUUGCUGCUGCACAGACAGCAUAAGUUGCUGCUGGCUGCUUAUGCAGCAACUGUUGCUGCUGCAUGCCUGUGCAGCAUUGGCAGCACAAACAGCAACUGUUGCUGCUGCAUGCCUCUGCAGUCUAGGCAGCAGCAGCCUGUGCAGCACAGGCAGCAACUGCUGCUGCUGCAUAGUUGUGAAUCUUGUGCCAUAUUGUUAUAAUAUCCUUUUUCUUUUACCAAUUUCAUGGUUGAUACUUAACUGGAUCUUUUGAAGUAAAUUUUUAUGUAAUAACAUCAGAUGGUUGUAUCAUUAAUGACUUUGGAAGCUAUGGGGCAAAAUUGAGGAUGUACAGUUUGUAUCUGCAAAGUCUUAUUGCCAUUCUAUUGAAUUUGUUACAUGCAUUUCUUGUAUGAUAUUUGACAGUCUUGUGUUAUGAGGAUUCCUGCAGUCAAUUCCAUGUAGCUGGAAAUUAUUAAAGUUUAAGUCCUUUGUUUUGUGAGAGCAGUUAAGCUUUUAUGGAUGAAGUUCUCUUUUUAUCUCAUGUGUUGUGCAAAAAUGACUGGGAGAACAUCGGGUACCUUUAUCUUCACCGCUGUAUAAUUUUGAAAUUGUGAUACCAUCUAAAGAUGGCAAAGCUGAUAUAGGUUGUUAUGGAACAUUGUGUAAUCCUAUUCAUAGUGGAAUUUUGUGCGGAUGGUGUAAGGCUAAAAGCUAAGGUUUUCUUGAAGAUAUUCAGAGUUGUUAAUCUUUCGGGUGAUUUUAAUGGAAAUGAGCAAAAUAAUCUUUGAGGAUUCUAUGGAAAGGAUAAUGGUUUUCUGUGAGACGAAGUUCAUCUUUAUUAGUGUCUGCUUCUAAAUAGUUUUAGGAUUCUUCUUCAUUUAGGUUGGAUGCUUUUUUAUACAAUAUCAGGCUGGAUGAUAAAGAUUGUCCUGAAGAGACAUAAGCUCAUCUCACUAUUCUGGAUCUUUUUAUUAGUUAAAGUAGUAAAAGUUAAACUGUUUCCUAUCAAGAAAACCAAAAAAAAAAAAAAAACAAGAGGGAGAUUUUGAUUCUCAUUUUUGGCUUCUGUUCUGUUCAUGGUAGUUUUUUAAAUCAUAUCUUUUAAAAGGUAGACGGUGGACAAAGCCCAGAUCAACAUUUUAACCCCUAUCUCCCCCAGGAUUUGAAAUUGGGUGGCCAGCUAAAUAAAGCUACUUGAAAACCACUCAGUUAGGCCCCUAGGGCCAUUCUUUUUGUGGUAAUUGGUACUAUCUUGUGUACAUAAAUGGCCUGUUUCUCUAAUUGAGAUUGUUUUGUUGUUUGAGUCAGAUUCUUGCUUUUUAAAUUCCUUAUCUCACCUUGUGCUUUCCGGUGGGUGGUUGCUUCCUGGAAAACUAGCAAAGAUGCUUUUGAUUGAUUGUGAGCAGAAUGACUGUGGUUGCCCUUUGACUAUAUGAGGUACUCCUCAUCUUCUGCCAGCACAAUCUUUUGUGUUUUAUAGAUCACGAUGAGGAUGUAGAUGAAUUUCAGAAGAAAGAGAAACUUUUAAUUAAAUCUCAAGUGUUGGACAAAUCCAACGGUUGAGAUUGAAGGUCCUGACAAAAAUUUCUAUCAAGACGUCCCACUAGUAAAACCAAUUUAGCUAUAUAUAUAUAUGGGGUAUACAUAUGUAUGUAUGUAUGUAUAUUAUAUGGUAAUUUCUAUUUUGACCUCAUUUUAUUAUUAUCAUUCUUUUCAUUGAAGCAUUUAUACACAUUAGGUUUAUUUAUGCUUUUUGUUUUCUCUUGAGUAUGCUUGUCCAUCUGACUUGAUCAUGCAUUGAUGCUUGUAUUAUGAAUUCUGUAUUCUGAUAUGCAAAUUAUGCCUUGCAGUGCUGGACUUUACCAGGCAGCUUCUGGAGACAGGAGUAGAGAAUGAUUUAGUCCUUUCUUUAGUUGUUUUCUCCCUCCAGUAUCUUCUAGUAAACCAUGAGUAUUGGAAAUACAAGGUGAAGCAUGUUCGUUGGAAAAUAACAUUAAAGGUGUGUUAUUGUUUUAGUCAGCUGUUACAUUACCAGGAGACUUUGAUUUGGAAGAUAGGCAGUACCUUCCCUGUAGGGUAAGUUUCUAAUCGAUUUAAUCAAACUCCAGGAAAUGUCCAUGAUAUAGUUUGUAGGAGGUUUAUGUCUAUUUUGGAAGCUCUAGGGAAGGUAUUUUCCUGUUUCUGGAAGCAGGGAAGUUUAUUUUCUUAUAAUUAAGCCAAAAACUCAAGAGUUUGUUAUGGUAAAAGGAGGCUUGCCUAAUGAGGUAUUUUGUGUAUUGUUGAAAUUCUCAAGCUGCUUAAUGCUAGAGCCACUUCUGGGUUCAACUCUCAUUUACUUGCCACUUCAGUUUAUGCAAACAUGUUGAAGGUUUGAGUGUAAUUAGAUUGAUCACUCUAGAGCCAUGAUCUGGAUUGGGAAUGACGGUUUUACUAGGCCAGAUAAUAACCAGAGACUUAACUAAGCUACAUCAUAUCAACAAAUUUCAAACAAGGAGAACGACAGAACUUUAUUUCGUAAACAUCCGUAAAUAAUUUUGAAAGAGCAGAGAAAUUGAACUUCUUUAUGGGCAUUGCUAAAUGAUUUAAAUGCUUGAAAAAGAAAUAGGUGUCUACCUAUCAGCCUUAGCUUGCUUGCGUUGGAAUCUCCCAAUAUAUUAAUUAAAUCAUAAAAUGUUAUGUUUUUGUUAAUUGUUGAAAGAUAAUAUUGUUAUUUGGUUAACGCUUCUGGAUGGGAUGGUAUGAUCAGUUCAAAAGCUCAAAUCUUUGUUUCUUUUAUUGAUGAUUUUUUUUUCAAUGCUAACUUAACAAUGAUAUUGAUAUUCAGUUGAUGCUUCUGGGCAUAAUGAAAUCCUGAGUUUAAAAGUCCUAAGUCUGUGUUCUUUUUAUUGAUGAUAUUUGAAUUUAUUGUCCCUUGGUUUCUACUUUAGAUUUGUCCACCAUUGUAACAUGUGACUAGAAUGAGUUGUAAAUUGCAUGAUGGUGCAAGUGAAAGCAUAAUAAAAAUUAAUUGACUCUUUUAGAAGUUAAAGAGUUUCAGUGAACAAAUCCCUCUCAUAUUGACAAAUAAAUGCAACCAUGCCUCCUGAAUUUAUCAUUAUAUUUUAUUGACGUUUUUGUGUCUGUCAGAGUUGAGGACCCUUUGGGUAUCAGUCAGAAUUAACUUCAAGGAUAUUACACUUCUUCUUCCUUUUUUUUCCUCCUUUUUUUUUCGUUUUUGGUUUUUUGGGGUGUUGUUUUUAUUUUAAUAAGAAGCAACAAAUUAUUCACAAGAAACAGACACACAAGAGGGUAGACCAAGUAGCCACAAAAAGAAAAUCAAUACCGCAAGAAAAACCAAAAAGAGCAACACUCAUCUAACUCUGCUUAAUUGCCAUUUUUUCCUUUUUUUUUUCAAAUGUUUAACGAUCUAUAAUUGUCUUGCAUGGCAUUUGUUUCAUAAUUGCUUGUCAAAAGCAUGGCUUUUGUUUGAAAUUCCUGCAUAUUGUCUUCCUUCUGACCUCAUAUUCUGCUUUAUCUCUUCUAAUUUUCUGAUUCUGCUCAAACGAAUGCUGGAAUAUUUUCGUUGGAAAUAAGUGCUGCAAAGGUGAAAUUUUUUUUCAUGUUUAUUGUUUUAGGUACUUCAAGUGAUCAAAACAUGCAUUAUUUCAACCUUGGUCCCCGGGAAGUUGGGUGAGGUCAUUCGGGGUACGCUACUCUGUGAUUCUUUCAUAUUUUCCUCCUGAUUCCGAUGGAUGUCUCCAUCUCGGAGUCAAUGCUGCUUUUCCUACUAACAGGAUCACAAUGUUAACAGAAACUUUAUGUCAUCCGCACUUUCGAACUGAUGGAGAUUGAAGGGCUGGAACUUGCUAUAGGUUCUGCUUUGGAUAUUUUGUAUACCAUGCUUUCAAAAUUUUCAAAGGUAAGCUUUGAAUUUUCCUACGAUUGUAAUACUAGGGGCUUGCUACAUAGUAAAUGAUGAAGUAACACAUCAUGUUAUUGGUAUGCUGGUAAAUAGAGGUACUAUUGUGUCUUUGUUAUCUGCCUGUCUUUCAAGUUUUUAUUACUGUUAUCUUAUGUCACAAGUUUGAGUAAUCCCUGCGCAAGCUAACAGACGGCCUCUGUAUCUCUUAAGUUCAAUUGUUUUGUUUCUUUCCUUCAAGUUCAUAUCACUUCUUAUUGCUUUCAAAUAUUUAUUCACUGAUUCUAUGCAUAUGUGGUAUAUUCUGUCUAGUUCCACCCUAAUUAUAUCUAUGAAAUUUAUAACUCUCAAUUUUACUUACAGGAAAUAUCUUCCAUCCCUUCUGUCUUUCACCAAGCUGUGCUGUCACCUACAACAACACCAGUUCCUGUUUUUGCAGCUGUUACGUCCUUGAUAUCAUAUUUUCGCAAUCCUGUAUUGAUUUUCUAUCGAUACUCAUUUUUUGUUCUUUUCUUCCUAUGCUUAAAGCUGUGAAUAUUGGAUAAUUGUAUGAUUAUUGUGGAAUAUAAUGGCAUAGCUGUUUAUAAUUUAAGGGCCUAAGGUUUGGUUGGCACUUCUAUGCGAGAAUGCCUGUUGAACUUCCUCCAUGUUUAUAAAUGCUUGUACAGGUAAUUGUCUGUCAAGUGUCUGAUGAGUUGCUUAGAUUAAAUUGAAGUCUCGAGUACUAAAGUCUGGGGAGAAACCCUUGCUUGGGGUUUCAGUUGAAAAACAAAUGAGCUGUGAGAUUUAGCUCUGACUUGUUCAAUUUGACAUUGAGGGAAAAAAAUUAAUUGCUAUUCCCAACUUAAGUUGCUAGAAUUGUUAAUUUUUGGGCAUUCCUGAACACAAUUUAUGUGUAACAAACUAAGGCUUUGCGGUUACCGCGUACUGCUGAAUGUAUUCCACUUCCUAAAGGCCUCGUGGCAAGGGGCUGGUCAGUACACAAAUAUUUUGGAGUCAUUGAAGAGCCCCGGAAAGUUCUGGAAGCAUCUGUCCAACUCAUUUUCAUUAAUUACUAGCUGGCAGUCUCCUGUACUUGAAGGUAUAACAGAAGUGGAGUCUCACAAUUUGGCAUACAAAUAUCAGUGGGCAAACACUAACUUACAGCCGGCUGUAAGUUACAGUACUCACAAAAAUGUGUAAAAGUAAGAAAUUAUCAAAAAAUUUAUUAUAACUUUAAUGAUUUUUUUAUACAAAAUUUAUUAUUUUUAGAUGAUUUAUAUAUAAAUACUACUUUAUUAGUGUGAUUAUUAAUAUUCAACUAAACUAACAAAAUGUACUCAUGACAUGUGGGAAAUUGAAAAUUAUUAAAUUUUUACAUAAAACAUAUUAGAUUAUAAAGCAUAAAAUUACAUGCCUACAAAAAUAAUGUGGUGCAAAUAUCUCCACCCUAAUUUGUAAUUUUAUUUUUAUUUUUUUGGUUUCCUUAUAAAGAUAUUACCCUCCAACCACUUAAAAAUAUUGAAAGUGCUAAUAGCUAUCACGAGUUUCUAACACAAUCUCAAAACCACAUCAAGAUUUAGCUUUACAUAUCAACCAACUACUUUUUCAUUAACUCUAUUAGCCAUUAUUAAAUAGUUUAAGAUCAAAAACUAUUUUCUUCUUGAAGUCUUGUAAAAUAUUCUUUUACAUUCUUAAAUGAAUCUAAGAGAAAAAAAAAAAAAGUAUCUUUAACUUAUAUUCUUGUAGCUAAAGGAGUUAUUAGUAGUUUAUAUAAAAGUAAAAUUUAAGAUGAUUUUGAAAUAUUAUUAGAAACUCGUACUGGAUACUUGCACUUUUAAUAGUUCUUGAUAUGAUUGGCAGAUAAAUUUUAUUUUUUAAAAAAGUUCAAGUGGAUAUUAACACAUUUAAAUGUGUAUUUGGGAUUGUGGUAAUUUGUUUUUGUCCUAGAACACUGAUAUGUAUAUUAUAAAAAAAUUGUUAAUAAUUUGAAAUCCAUCUAGACUAUAUUAGAUUUAUUAUAACAUUAGGUAGAUUUCUACCCUCACUUAAUAUGGGACAAAUAUCCAAUUAAUUCAUCCAUAUUAGUCAUGAAAGAUAUGAUUAUGUGAUAAUUCUUAACUCAAAACACGUCUAGAAAACAUCUCUUAAAAGUGAUUACGAUACAUCUAGUUGCAUGAAAAUGUCUUGAGUUGAAUUUUUUUUUCUUUUGAAUUUGUUAUGAUAUACAAAUAUUACAAAUGGGUCUACUGAGAAUUUGAACUUACAAUAUAACUUAGAAGUCUAUUAAAUAUAGUUCAGAAAUUUGCACCUAAUGGAGCUGAGACAUCUACCUUCAUACUUGGAAAAAUAUAUUACUCCCAUUAAUAUUUCGAGAAAGACAUGUAUUUAUCUAUCCAAAAUUUUUCAAGAGAAACUACUUUUUAAGUCUUUGAAAAUUCAAACUGGUGCCCUCAAUUUUGGAGGGCACAGCCAAGCCAUUACAUCAAGACCAUAAUGGUCGGGUUGGUGAAAUCAAGAGGACAUGCAAAAGAGCGACAAUACUAAUUAUUUGUCAUUAUCUAAGAGGUUGAACAGUAUGAAGAUCAUUGUUGUUGCUAUCAACAGCUAAACCCCAACCAUGGAGAGAGAGGAUGAUCACCGAAUAGGUCUUUCUAUACAAAUAGCUUUCAUUUAAAGGAUUUUAAUUUGAUCAUUAGAAAGCACUGGUUAUCACUUCACACUUUUCCCGAUAAAACUAAAUUCUGCACAAUUUUCUCAAUAAAACUGAACAUGUGAGUUGUGGUGAGCGAUGGUGUUGUCCACCAUAUCAGUUCUCUUCACUCAAAUGCACAGAACUCAAUGACACUUACUAAUUAUAUACCUACUCAAUUCGAAUGGUGCUUAGAUGGCGCAGUUAUUAAUUAAAGUUGCUCAAAAUUAAAAGUUUCAAGUGCAAACUAGUAGAACGAACAAAAGGUUUUGGGAAUAGUUUGAUAACACUGUAAAUUUUAAAAUAAUUAUUGUUAGUUGUACUAUAAAAAUAAUUAAUUGUAAAAAAAAAACUAAUUAAACGUUUAGUAAAGUUUAUUUUCAAAAGUGACAGUCGUAUGUGUUUGGUAAAUCUUGUUAUUAAAUUAUUGUAAGAAUAUACAUAACUAAAUUGGACAUAAUGUUAAAUAAAAUUCAUUUAGAUAUUUAUAAAUAUGUAUGUAAAAUAUUUUUUAAUGAGUACAUAUAAUAAUUGAUAACUAUAAUAAAUAUUUUAUAUUAUUAAUUUUAUUUUUUAUUUCGUUAUCUCGAUAUAAUUGAAAUAAUAAUAAUCUUUUUAAAGUUAAUGGUUUUAUUUUUCUAGUUAGUAGGGAUAAUUUUAGAUUUUUAUAUUAUAUUAAGUAUAAAGUGAUUCUCAAAAUUAGAUUUUAAAAAGCAAUUCCUUCCAUGCUUUUCAAAUUUUAUUGUAAGAUGGGAAAAUUUUGGUCAAAGUGAUUUCUAAAAAAUUUACCAAAUACUAAAAUUAGUUUUUAACUUUUCAAAAUCACUUUUGAGACUUCUAAAAGCAAUUUUAAACAAGCACUUAGUUAAGACUUAUAUUAAAGAUUAUACAAUAGAGAUUUUUUUUUUUUUAAAAAAAAGAAAUUAUUAAGUGAUUAUAAAGCCUUCCAAAGUACAAAUUAAAUGGGAUGGAUAAUCUUCCAUACCUAAAAUGAAUUUAAACACUGUAAAAUAAAUUUUACUAAAAUAUGUGUUGAUUGGUUAUUAAACCUCGAGAUAUGAGAAAUUCACUUAUACUAUAUAUCUUGGAGACUAUAAAAUCAUAAUUUUAAGAAAAAAUGGAGGUUGAUUACUACUGGUACCGUACGUUUUUUGAGUUUAUGUUACGGUCUAAUAAAGUUUAUUGAUUUUAUGUUACAACCCACUUAUGUUUAUAAAUUUUGCAUUGUGGCCUGUUGAGCAGGGAUGACAAUUCUAUACAUAUCCGCUCGGUAACCGACCCAUAUAGUGCGAUCUAUUAAAAACCAAAAUUCCAUCAAGUGACUUAAUGCUUGAAGUCAUGUCAAGAGACUCGAACUUUAUGGAUUGGGAUUAUUAGAUUAAAUAUGAAAUUUGUAAUUAACAACUUUGCUGGUACCCAUGAGUUGCAUAGUUUCAGAAAGAGAUUUUGAAAAGACAAAAGAGGAUAGCACAACACUUCAUAUACAGAUAGAAUUUCAAGAUUUAGAAGAAACAAGUCCAAAAUACACCAUAAAUUCAUUACAUAUACAAUACAAGUCCUCUCAUUGAGGUAUACUUAUUUUAUAAUAAAAUGUGAAAAUACAGGCAAGCAGCACAGGCAGAAGAUGAAUUUACUCAUCUUUAUUUUAGGAAAAAGACAUAUUUAUAGGUUUCCUUUAAACUUGAGAUGAUCCAAGUUGUAGCGACACAAUGAAGUAAAUCGCAAGAACCAAACACGAACAUAGAAAUAUUAUUCCAGAUGAUGCACAUAAGAAGUGACUUGAAUCUUCAUCAGUAUCUGAACAUUCUGCAUUCAUAAAGUAGAGAACUUCAGCAGGAACUACAGAGAAGAGAAUUAAAUGCUCAGGUGUAGACCUCCGUAUAUUGUGAACUCGCCCUUUUACAUCAAUGCAAAGCAGGGCCGACUCAACCUUAUUUGACGCCUUAUGCAAAUGAUUUUAAUUAGUUCUUCUUAAAAUUUAGGAAUAUAUAUAUUAUUUAUUGAAAGUCAAUUCUUUAAACACUCUAAAAUGUAAAAUUAUUAAAUAAAAUUCUAUUCUACUAUUGCUAAUCCAUGAAAUUUUUAUUCAGUUAUAAUAUUUUCACUUAUUAUUUUUUUAAUUUAAAUUACAUCUUUUUUACUACUUUUCUAGAUUAAACUGAUUUUUCUAUUCUUCUAUUUUCUAAAGUUUUUCGAUAUAGUUUUAUUUCAAAAUAGAUAAAACAACACACACACAAAAUAGUAGAUGAAUAAAAGAAUAUAUUAAAAAGACAUAAGAACAAAUAAAUAACAUAACUAAUUAAGAGAAUAAUAAAAAGAUAAAAUAUGGAAUUUGGGAUGAAAUCAGAAAUUAACUUUAUCUUUAUUUUAAUUGUUUGAAGAUUUGAGUAAUGACCAAUAUCCAUAGAGAAUAGAGAAAACUAUUAGAUUUUUCCUUUUUCUUCUUGAGUGGAAAGUAGAGGAAGCAGGAUUUUUUUCCGUCUCUCUCUUUCUUUCUCUCAAACACUAAGAACAUAUCGUAUCUUGAUUGUUGGAGGAAAAAUCUAAUGGAUAAGUAAUAAAAUGUGGGAUUUUUAUAGAGGUUUAAAAUGAAUAUAAAACUUUUUAACUAUAACAUAUUAAUUCUAACAAUGAAAUAGAGAAUUUGUAGGAUUUAAACUAUUAAUUUAUCAGUUUUAUCGGAAUUAAAACUACUAAAAACUAUAUUAAAUAAACUACUAAAUAAACUAUAUUAAAUAAAUUUGAUAAUUUAUUUAGGAAAAGAUAAUUACAAAAUAAUAAUAAAAUAAAUGAAUAAUAAUGACUUUUAAAUUUACUUUUCUUUUUUAUACACAAAAUAAUCUUUUCAUGGGAUCUUCAUGUAAACCGAGCUUUAGGCAAUCGCCUAAAUUACCUAGAAGUUGAGCCGCUAUUGAUGCAAAGGACCAAUACUAACAGCAAUAAAAGAAAAAAAAAUUCCUAUAGUUAUUAUUAACUAUUCAAGGCCUUGUAUAUCAGUGCAAAAGGGCCACUUAGGGAUGCAACACCGGACCUUUUGUCAAAGCAUGAUUUUUGUGAUGUUAUGCAAUCUUUUCAAACAUUCAAAAAAUUUAGAAACUCAGGCUUUAAUUUUCUCAAACUAAAACCUCCAAUUGUCGAACAAAAAGGUGAGAAACUCAAUAGGGUAAUCAUAAGAACAAGAAACCUCCACUGAUUCAAAAUUCCGCAUAAAUUCCAGAGCAAAACAUGAAACUCAUUCUGCAAUUAUUGAUAGAACUAUCUAUGCAUUUUUUGAAACAAGCAAUGAGAUCAAAGAAAUGAAAGGAAAACUAAUUACCUGGAACUUUAUUAACUCUUCAAAUUCAUGAAUACAAGACUUCUGACAUAGAUGGCUUCUCCAAAAGCUGAAAAAAGUAUAUAAGAGCUCAAAGCACAGAAUAAGGAGGAAAUGGAACGUUGAUUAUAUAAACUGUGUAAUGAUAAUGAGCCCAAAGGGCAACAAAAGGGGGGACAUAAACGCCUUUUACACCUUUUUUGUUAAGCUAAAUAAAAAGAAAGAAACAGGGGUAUCAAAAUUGCACCAUGGAAUUUGACAAACACAUUUUAAUUGAAAAACUUUGAUAUUUCCAUGGAAGACAGGUUAGUGAGUGAUCUGUACCUUUUCUUCAUGUAAUUGAUGUAUGAUCUUGUUAAUGUUACUAUCGGAGCGCCAUUCACCGUGCCCAUAACCAUAGCAAACACUUUCUGUCAGUGUUCUUAAGUCUCCUGCAGUGAAAAUCUUCAUCUUGGGACAGCCAAUCACACAUAGAUAUUCCAAAGAUGGGAAUCUGAAGGUGUAAUUGCCAGAGCUAAAGCUUGUGAGACUAUCUAAAUGAUGCAGAUCCAACGACUUCAAUUUGAUGAAAACUAUCUCUUCCUUUGCUGCUGCUGCAUCUCCCUCACUUAUUACCACUUGUGUCAUUGCACUGCAUCCAUAUAUCGUCAAACUUUCAAGUUGCACUAGACUUUUUGCUCCG
This 45767-nucleotide long non-coding RNA is filed under the name Citrus x clementina. RNAcentral's name for it is "Citrus clementina (C. clementina) long non-coding RNA (CCLE_LNC000862)". Lineage: Eukaryota; Viridiplantae; Streptophyta; Magnoliopsida; Sapindales; Rutaceae. The record is from RNAcentral.